CUAUAAUUAUGUGAUAUGAAACACUAUGUUGCAUAGAAACACAAUCAAUAAAUAUUCAGCAUUAAAAUCCCGAGCAAAUUAGCCUUGUAAUUUUCGAUAACUGGAAUCAUUGGUUUCUGAGUUGCAAGAUUUGGAAUUGUCAUUUAAGUUGGUUCCCUUUGCGUUGAAUACUCCUGACAGUGUAAAAUCAAAAUCUAUGCAGAUUGGAAUGCUUGAAGAUACAAGAACCCGCACUCUUAAUGGCAUUUUACGCGUUCAAAGCUGUUUUCGGGGUCACCAAGCUCGCAGCUACCUUAGACACCUUAGGAGUGGAAUAGCCGCUCUUCAAUCAUGUACAUCCACCUUUCCUGCUUGAGCUAUCAACGAAAUUCUCUAGCAGUAUGUUGGUUGCAUAUUGUUGAAGGAAUAAUUUUUUUUAAUCUUUGGAUAGUUAUUCGAGGGGACAAGAUACGGAAAGAAUACUUAUUCCUAUGGGGAAGACAUAGGGCCGCCAUUGUUAUCCAAAGGCAGGUGAAGAGCAUGAUUUGCAGGAAUAAAUAUAAGAACGUUCACCAGGCAUCACUCUUAAUACAAUCUGGUAACAUUCGUGGCUUUCCGCUAAAAGUAUUCUUUACUGAAGGAAAAUUUUAAUGUACACUAUGAUUUGUUAGAAUGGGUGUUAUUACCAACUCUGGUCAUUCAAAAUCUUUCUUCCAGUUAUUCGUGGAUGGUUGGUUAGAAGAUGCUCCGGUGAUGUGGGGAUAUUACUUUCAAGGGUCAAGGUAAUGAUUCCUUUCUUUUCAUUUAAUCUGUACCAAAUGAUGGUACCAAUUCUAUUAAUCAAGAUGACGAAAGCUGAAGUAACAUGGAUUCGUUAUUUCCUUGUUUUCCUAUGGUUCUAGGCUUACCAGCAGUAACUUGUUUAGUUUUCAUAGAGUUAUGCUGGCCAGAAUGAGAUGAAUCGGUUUUAUGUGUUGACUGAAAACUGUGGUUAACCUUCUCAGGGGAAUGAGUCGGAGGAAGUGCUGGUGAAGGCGUUGUUUCUUGCUGAUUUACAGCGACGGGUUCUCAAGUCAGAGGCUGGCUUUAGAGAGAAAGAAGAGGAGAAUGACAUCCUCAACCAGCGGAUUCAGCAGUAUGAGAGCCGAUGGUCGGAAUAUGAAGUGAAGAUGAAGUCAAUGGAGGAAGUGUGGCAGAAACAGAUGAGAUCCUUGCAAUCAAGCCUGUCGAUCGCAAAGAAGAGUCUGGCUAUCGAUGAUUCCGAGAGGAACUCCGAUGCUUCAGUUAAUGCAAGUGACGAAAGGGAGUCUAGUUGCGAUACCGGAAGCAAUUACAGAAGUCAGGAAAGUAAUGGGCUGAGAACGAUGAGUGCAGGUUUGAGCGUGAUAAGCCGGUUGGCAGAAGAGUUUGAACAGAGAAGUCAAGUAUUUGGGGAUGAUGCAAAGUUCUUGGUUGAGGUUAAAUCUGGCCAGGUGGAUGCGACCUUGAAUCCAGACCGGGAACUUACAAGGUUGAAGCAAAUGUUUGAGAGUUGGAAGAAGGAUUACAGUGGAAGGUUAAGAGAAACGAAGUUGAUACUGAAUAAGCUUGGUAGUGAUGAAGGCGCCCUUGACAAAGUAAAGAAGAAAUGGUGGGGGAGGAGGAACAGCAUUAGGUAGUAACCAGAUGCUGCUGAUGGAAAUCUCUGAGUAGUUUGUUUAUAUAAGAGUUUUCUGGGUGGGGGGAUGCACAGCCAUUGUAGGCUAGUGAUCAUUAACCACUCUGAAAGAAAGAUAUCAUUCAUUCUUUCAUAUUAUUAUUAUUGUAAGUUUAAACAAAGAGGUUUGUGAUUUGCCCACUUCAGUAGCAACCCAACCCAUACUCUUGUACUAAACUUCACAAAGGAAUAUAUUCCUGAGGUUUUUGUAUACUUCAGAUUAAGUUUCUGCCCUGUCAGUUUUAGCCCUGAUCAUUAUGGUAAUUCCCACCAUUAGGCCAUCUCAAAGGAGAGGUAAAUUGUUAAAAACCUAAAAUUUAGCACCAAAAUGGUAAAGAUGGCAACGGAUGGGUAUGGGUACAGGUUUAGUAUCUCCAUCACCCGCCCGUUUACUCGUCGGAUUUUACCUAUAUUCACCCGUUUUGUCUAAAUGGCAUAAUAUGAAAACCAUCCCCGCCCAUUUAUGGGUUACAGGUAAUACCUGGAUAUUAAUACUAAAACUAAAAUUUCUAUAAUAAAAAUUAAACAAAUUAAAAUGUUAAAAAAUAAACAUUUACGACUACGACCAUCUCUGCAUCCUCACCUUUCUUAUUAGAAUUAUCACCAAAAAGAAAUAGGUUUCAGAGGGAAACUAUAAGAAGGUUGGGAAAUCAGAUCUAACAACAAUCGACGCGGUUCUUCAUCCCAAACAUCAAGCGACACUUCCAUCUCAACUUUGAGGACUUCCGAGUUCGAUCGAAAUAAAAAAUAGAUGGGUCAGUCUCGCAAAGAAGAAACGUCAUGGAUGAGCUCGAAGCUCUCCAAUAGCCUGCACGAGUUACUCUUCAGAUUAUUCAUUCACUAUAUGAGAUGCAAGGGGAGAAAUCCCUAGGUUCGUGCAAUUAGAUUUGAGAGGAUGAAUGGAAAAUAUCCAUUUUGGUCUCAAGAUUUUAAAACUUACAUAAUUAAUCCUGAAUUCUAUUAAUUAACAAUGUAGUCUUCAAUGUUUUAAAUUAUGACAUCGAUAGCUCAGGUAAUUUUUUUAUUAAUACGAAUAACCCGAACAGGUUACGAAUAAUAAAUUAUUUAAGAUUAUAAUUUAUUAACUUCCAUUUGCAAUUGGUUUCUAGUUAUAUUUAUUUUAUAAUUAUUUAUCUUUUAUAUAAUUCCAUUUGCCUCGCUGUCUUGUUGGUUGCGGUGAUAUUCCACUUUUAAUCAACAACUCUGCAAACUCGCAGGCUGACACUAAGGAUUUGGUUUCUGCCUGUGUGAUCUUCCUACCCGCAUUUCUUACACAAGAAGAGAGGGCAAAAAGGAAAGAGACUGUUUGGGAUUUGAUUCCAGAUAGUCUCCUCCCAUGGCGUCUUCAAUUAGCAUAAACUCGGCAUUGACGGACGACGAGCUGCGGACGAUUCUGGGUAAGCUAGAGGAGGACAAGGAUAAGGAGAUAUUUGGGUUGGUGUGCAAGAGAUGGCUGAGAUUGCAGAGUACUGAAAGGAGAAAACUAGCUGCUCGAGCUGGACCCCACAUGCUCCAGAAAAUGGCCGCCAGAUUCUCUAGGCUCCUUGAAUUGGACCUCUCUCAGUCCGUCUCCAGGUCCUUUUACCCCGGCGUCACCGAUUCCGAUCUCGCUGUAAUCGCUGAUGGCUUGAAGUCCCUCCGACUCCUCAAUUUGCACAACUGCAAAGGUAUGAUCUUUCUCCAAUUCAACUAAAUUAGACUCAUUUUCAGCUGCAACUAAUAUAAAGAUUGUGUCUUUUAUCUUCCCAGCCCUUAACUUUUUAGUUUCGUUGCAAAAUUCCUCUUAUGGGAUCAUUGGGUUCUAAUAUCUAAGCAAACAAAUGCAUAAUAUGAAUCAAGUGCUGUCUUCUUUCAUCGUGUUAAAUUUUAUGUGUUUGCAUAUAUUUCAAUGGUGAGCAAAUACAGGUGUUACUGAUCGUGGAAUGAUGUCAAUCGGGAAUGGGCUUCCUUGCCUGCAAACCUUGGAUGCUUCCUAUUGUAGAAAGCUAACGGACAAAGGACUAUCAGCAGUGGCCGAGGGCUGUCCUGAUUUGCGGACGCUUCACCUAGCUGGUUGCAGGUUUCUCACUGACGAAAUACUUAAAGCUCUCGCCACAAACUGCACCAACCUAGAGGAAUUGGGCCUGCAAGGUUGCUCCAACGUAACAGAUUCCGGACUUGAUCAUCUCGUCGGUGGCUGUCGCCAUAUCAAGUUCUUAGACAUCAACAAAUGCAGCAAUGUAGGGGACUUGGGGGUUUCCAGUGUUUCCAAGGCGUGUUCUGUUUCCUUGCAGACGCUAAAGCUGCUGGAUUGCUAUAAAGUAGGGGAUGAGUCUAUUUUCACUUUGGCAAGACACUGUGAAAAUCUCGAGACCCUCAUCAUCGGAGGCUGUAGAGAUAUAUCUGAUGCAUCUAUGAAGUCGUUGGCCACUGCUUGCAGCCGGAGUCUGAAGAAUUUGCGGAUGGACUGGUGUUUGAAUGUGUCUGAUUCGUCACUAAGUCGCAUCCUUGGCGAGUGCAGAAAGCUGGAGGCUUUGGAUAUUGGAUGCUGUGAAGAGAUAACAGAUGCUGCUUUUGGGGGAUUGACCAUGGGUGAGACUGAUCUGGAGCUCAAAGUUUUGAAGGUCAGUAACUGUCCAAAGAUAACCAUUACUGGGAUAAGAAUGCUUUUGGAUAAAUGCAUCAACUUGGAGUACUUGGAUGUAAGGUCCUGCCCUCAUGUGACAAAGUUCGAAUGCGAUGAGGCUGGCUUGCAUUUUCCAUCAUCUUGUAAAGUGAACUUCACUGGUAGUCUGAAUGAGCCAGAUGUUCUAGUCUGAGCGAGGAUCAUUCAGCCAUUCAGGUACCUGCAGAAAUGCAGAGUGUAUGUAAAAUUGAAGGAGGUUGGGGGUGUACAGCAUUGGACAUUCAGUGUUGUCUAGAGAGUUUUUUACUUAUAUUUGUGGGAUGUGUGGGAUGUGUGGGAUGUGUGGGUUGUUUAGUUACUUUCAUCUUUGUAAUCGUUUGUGGCAUAUUCACAUUGAUCGUGGUAUCAUUUUGGCUGUGGUUAAAUUUAUGUUAAAAAGUAUCCUCCUUUAUAUUGUACUGAACUUUGUGUGUCAUUACAGCAUAUUCGGUGUUGGUGUUUGUGCUUACUUGAGUAAGUUUUAGGUUUGCCAGUUGGCACCAGACCACCAUCUGCUCUGAUACUAAUAAUGUAGUUACAAAUUGGGUUCCUCUUCUUUAGCUGCCAACUUUGGUCAAAUACUUUCUUCCUCCAACAAGUUGGUGGGUGGAUGAGCUGGUUUUUGACACCAGAAAUUCUAUUAUUCUGGAAUUCAAAGUACAGGAUGACAAAACCCUCUUAAAUGCCAUUUAAUUCUAACGAGCAUUAGUUGGAUACUUAACCUCCGCAGGAAGUCUAAUCUCAUUUACAAUCUUUCAAUUCUUUACACUGACUAACUAAUUGCUUUCAGUUUGGCAGUUUGCUUCAGCGGGUGGGGGGGAUUAUGCUGAAAUCCUGCUGGUGGAUAUUGCCAGGUCCAGGUACUUGAAAGCUUUCUUGUAACUAAGGAACCCCAUGAACCAGAAAUCAAACCCGUCAACGGUCACUAUCUCCAUAUAUUUCUGUGAUGGCUUCUCCAUAUUCUCACUCUGGUUGGCCAUUUCUAUCUUUUCUAGUGGGACCACAACCUUAUAGUGAACUCUGAUGGAUUUUCCCUGAGGAGAUGACAGCUGAAUUGAUCUCUCACUACAGAAGGCAAGCUUGUGAGUGGAUAUGAAUAGAAGGCCAGCAAUGGGGCCAGAAGUGGUUGAUAAAUAACACUGGGAGGCCUUCAUAAGUCUCUCCCCUUCGCUAACACUGAACAAUUGCCUAAACACUUUCUUCACUCCUCCCACUUGCAGAAUCCUGGCCCCCAGGCUCAACUUCCCUUUCAAGGUCUCACUGAUUUUGUUUCCAAGUUUCACUGCACCAUCACAAAUCAAGCAACCACCAAGGUCAGAAAAUCACACUAUACCAUCAUGUUUCAACUCUGUUUUACCAUAAAUGAGCAUUAGUAAGUAGUUUACCAUGCUCUCGGAUUCCAUGUGCGAAUUUGUCUGCUUUCUUCCCAAGCUUGUUCAUCCUUUUUAGCAUUGAAUCCACUUUGUCUGCAACAUUGACAGCCCACUUAGUAACUUACUCCAAACAUGAAUAGAAACAAAAGUACUUAUGACAAUGGAUGGAUGGAUGGUAAUUACUUUGUUUUUUGAGCACUAGAGAUUGGUGGGCAGGAGUAGGGAUGUAGCGGUUUGGUUCAUCUUCAAGGAGUAGGGAUCUAGGAGUAGGAGGCAUCCUUGAAGCAGAUGAGGUGAUUGGAUGGCCAAUGACUUGGCCCUGGAGAUAUGAACCCUUCAUGUUUUGGAAGCUUUAGUUGAUCCUUGUCUUGUGUGUGUUUGCUUCAAAAGAUGAUCAAAAGCUUUGAUCUUUAGCUGCUUACGUUGAUGAAGGAGUUGUAGGUUUGUGUUGGUUACAAGAACAAGGAUGGGAGAUAUAUAAUAAGGAGGGUGGGGCGACCGAGGAAAAAGAAAGGUUCACACUUUUCAGUAUGCAUGACUCAGCGAUGAAUCAUUGACUAGAAGGAAAGGAAGUUGUUUUUAAGAUAAGAUUUGGAGCAAGAGGGAGAAAUGAGCAAUGUUCAACUGUUAACAUAGAAAGAUGAAUGGAAGUGGGUCCAUCUCCACCUCAAUGUAUCACUAUUCUAAUCCUAUGUUCCCUAUCAUUUUGCAGAAAUAUCUCAACUGCCAAUGUUGUUUUUGUCAUUGGAAUUCCCAUUUAGAUGAAAUGGAAAAGGUCAAUUUUUCAGUAUUAGUUUCAUCAGGUCGGUUGGGAACAGUUUCUCGUCUUUUCUUUUCGAAUGUGCCGACGAGUUAAAAGAAAGGGUGAUUAUCUAAGCUUUUUACUGAGCUGGCUUUGUAGCUUUCUGAUGCAAGCACGCACCCCACUUUCUCUUGUUUGAUUUCCUUUUCACUUUUCUUAUUAUUAAAAAACUAAUCUGAUCCCUUAAUGAGAAAGGAAAAAGGAGACUAAAAUCCUUGGAUACAAGCUGAAUUUGGUGGGAGGUGGUCAUAUUCAGAUGAUGAUCAUUUGAUGCUGUUUGAUUAGGUGGUUACCAUGUCACUAAUUAAGGGUCGACAUAAGCAUGCCGACCGCCCAAAUCCAACACACCAGCAUCAGCAUCAGCAUCGUCCCAAAUUCUGGUAAUACCAGAAACAGCAGAAUAUACUGUUUGUUUUUGACAUCUCUUUUAAUUAUCAGAUCCGGUAUGGAACUUUUCCUUUAUCAAGCUAGGCCAUGCUGAUGUGCAGGUGACGGGGCGCUAAUCCCUCCUACCCCUUUUCAUCAGUAUAUUUUAUUUAUAAAAAAAUCCAACAUAGAAAGAGUGAAAACUGGUGGUCUGGUCUGGUCAGAUCAGGUGGUCUGUUUUGUGGCUGUCUCAUGACAUGUCAUGUGUAUGAUCCCCGCAUCACCCUCCAUCGGUGGAUGACAGGGUUCAAUUGAGUGUUUACUUUAAAGAGUACGUAGGUAGGUAGUGGAAGCAACUUGCAAGUUUUGAAAGUGGAUUACGUGCAUGGUGUCAGAUCAUGUCUAUUUCUUUCUUCUGCAUGGUGCUGAAUGCAAAAGGAGAGAUAAGGGUGGAGAUGGUAGUUGUUUGUCACCAACAAGGGAAAUGAUCUUCUUAUCUUGGCUUUGCUUUCAGCAAGUAGAAAUAAAUGUGUCAUGGAUGAUGAUGAGAUGAUUACAGAGUUGGUUAAAAGAGAGUAGAAAGGCAGGAAAGUAAAAGCCUUGGCUUAAUGGGAAAGAAAAGUAAUUCGAACAUGAGCAGCAGCAUUAUCCUCAUCUCAGGAUGUCGACAGUAAUUUGUCAGGAUGAUGAAGCUGGAAAUCUCAUCCGGGCUUCGUGCUAACUUUUUUCACUUCUCCAAUGAUGGACAAGAAGAAAGUAACAGCAGCUCAAAACCUGCUGGAACAAAUUACUCAAAAUCCAUGUCUCCUUGCACCGGUGAUAACUAAUACGACCAGGGAUUGCAGAAGAAGACAAGGGAGUCCGUGGCAAAGAAAACAAAAGGAAGGUUUAACCUUUCUUAUUUCCAGCCAUAUGCAGCUUUCUCUGUGUUUUCUUCAGUUUGUUUCCAUUGCAGGAUCCAUCAAAUAUAUUGAAGAAAAGGGUGAGUCGGAGGACUGGUAAACUAGCCUUACUUUCUCUUCUCUUUGUCGCCGCAUCUCUGUUUCUUUCCCUUAAGUUGAAGACUCCACCACCACCAAAAUUCAAACGAUCGUCUGUCUAUCUAUUCGGGAAGCUCUAGUUCAGCUUCGCUCACAGUAAACAAUGGAGUCUACACCAGCUUUUCGCUUCCUCAUCAUCAUCCUCUUCUUCCUCUUCUACAUACCUUCUUCGGAACAAUCUUUUCCGAAAGAAGCUCGCGGAUGUGAUGAAGAGCACGAAGCCGCUGGUGGAGGAGAUACUAAUGGCGGGGAAGGAGAGAUGUAAGGUGUUGUUGUACCAAGGACAGCACGAUCUUAGAGACGGGGUAGUGUCGGUGGAGGCUUGGGUGAAGACGAUGAGAAGGUGGGGUGGAUUGGCCGAGUUUAUGGAUGCGAGGAGGGAGGUAUGGGAAUCGGAUGAUGGAUUGGUGGCUGGGUAUGUGCAGCGAUGGGGGAGUCUGACUCAGGCGGUGGUUCUUGGUGCCGGACACCUUGUCCCGACUGACCAGCCGAUUAAUGCUCAAGCCAUGAUUGAAGGAUGGAUUUUAGAGACGGGAUCUUUUGGUGCUUCUGCAGCUAAGCCUAACCAUUACAGGUGGCAAAUCUGAUAUACGUACCAAUCACCCGGCCAUCAGAAGUUUCAAUGCAGUUCACCGACUUGAAUCGGAUUAGCGAAGUUAUCAACAUGCAACCACCAUGAACACUUGAAACCCAGAAGAGAAAAGGGAUGAAGGGCCUCUAUCGUAAUUUAGAAUAAUCAUAGUGUACAGAUGUACUAUACUAUUGUUAUUCAUGAAUCAUGAGACUACGAAGAUGGUCUGAUCCCAUCAAUGUAUCAAUGCAGUGUUGUAUAUUGAAUCGGAUGUGCUCAAUAAACCACUUCGAAGUCAUUCAAAGAAUGGUUUAAAAUGUAAGUCCUAAUCAAAGAUACAAGUGUAAAUUUCACUUAUCUUUUUAAGAAAAUGUGAUUUCUGGGCCAUUCCGGAACUUUUUCUACAGAACAAGUCAAGCCCCUCAUCUAUUGAUCUGGAAAUCGGCAGGGAGGAACGAGAACUAUCAAAGAAUGAGACGAUAAUUCUGUUCUAUUAUUUAAAAUUGAACGAGAACUCUAAUUAUAGAGUUUACAGAGAAAGUAAAUAAGAUAGUGUCCACAUAGGAUACACUUGCCUAAAAUAUGUUAAAACUUACUUUCUAAUUAGAAUUAAAACUAAGAAAUAGAAUCAUAAUAGUACCAAUAAUAUGCCGUAUCUCAACAAGAACCCUAAGAAUUACUUACAUAUCAGAUUGCACAUUUGUAACAGGAACAAUAAUGCACAGCAGCAGCUAUGUUAUUUAUACCUGCAAAGAUCACAAUUAAACUGAAUAGAUUUUUUAUUGGCAAAAAAACUUGGGAAACAAUCUUUCAAGAUAACUGAUAUUAGGAUGUUCCAACCGAAUAUACUAUUAGCUACUGAACUUUGAACUCCAGAACUGAGGGGUGCCUUGUAGCUUGAAGGUCCUCCUAGCAAUUGGUACGACCCAUCCACCUGGUCAGCCUGAUCAAUCAUCUUCCCCGAGGCCGAAUCCUGAAACUCACAUGAUCCAUGGCCAAAUAUUACUUCACACUUCAUAUCUCUAGUUAGUUGACUAACAAACAGAAGAUUGCAGCUGAGCUUAGGAACAUAAAGGACAGGGAAUAAGGUAAUAGACGGUGUGACUUUAACUCGUCCAAUCCCUUUGAUGGGUGCCAAGGUUCCAUCGGCAAUUCUAACCCCUGAACCUAUUGAAUAGGGUUGAAUGUCCUGAAUAAUACUCAAGUUUCCAGUUAUGUUGUCUGUACAACCAGAAUCUAAGAUCCAUACAGGACUACCUGAAAUUUGAGUGCUAGAAGCAAAAGAGAAGAUACCUUUGCUAGCCAUUAGACUAGGGGAUUUCCCGCUUGAAGAAGCAGCAAACUGAGUAAACAUUUUCCAAAGCUGUUCCAUUUGACCCUUUGAGAAUGAUUCCUGAACUUCUUCUUCUUCAUUCUUCUCAGCCGUGUUGGCACGCUUGUCACGUUUGCCUUUGCCCUUCUAAUUUGUCGACCUCCCAUGAAGUGAAUAACACUCUUCUCCAGUGUGUCCAGUCCUCUUGCAAUGAUCACAAUACUUGAGAGAAUGUGCAACGAGAGCUGAUCCUUCAGCAGCAGGUUUCUGCUCUCCUGGCAGCAUGACUCUUCGCCGACUUGACUCCCGUCGAACCUAAGCAAAAGCCUUCCUGAGAUGGGGAAGAGGUGAGAUUGCCAUCACCCGACCGCUUACUUCAUGCAGCUCUUUGUUGAGUCCAAGCAGAAAUCGGAUUGUCCGACUUUCAUCCACCAAGGUUCAGUAGGUGGCUGCAUCCUCAGUACACUUCCACUUUGGGGCUCGAUACAUAUCCAUUGAAGCCAUAAAUUGGAUAGCUUGUUGUGGUAGGCCGAGAUAGUCAUAUCUCCCUGUUGCAGAUUAUAUAACUGUGUCUCGAUCUCCAUUAUUUCAGCUGUAUUGUCCAUGUUAGAGUAGGCGUCUUCAGCACUAUCCCAGACAUCCUUGACAGUCUUGUGGAGCAAGUACAGUUCACCAAUCGCCUUGUCCAUGGUGUUUAGAAGCCAUGACUUAACCAGGUUGUCGUUGAUCUUCGACAUUGCUUCGGUAGAUUCGGAGCUGGAAGAUCGCCAUUGAUAUAGUCCUAUUUGUCACGGUGAGCAAGAUGAAUCAGCAGCGAUUGAGACCACUAUAAACAGUUGUCGCCAUUGAGUUUGUGAGUCAUGAUGAACGAGGCAUAGUCGUUGGUUGGAGAAGGCAGGUUGUUGUUGUUAGAUCCCUGACUUGUUGUGUUGUCAGGGAUAGUAACUUCAUCCACAUUUCAGAACUUGAUAGUUCCAGUCAUGAUGAGCCGUCCAAUCAAAGAAGAGGAGAAAGAGAUUUAAGAGGAGUGCUGGUCGGCAACGGCGCCGGUGGUCCUAGGGUUCCAACCAGAUUUUGAUACUAUGCCAAACAAUGAGACGAUAAUUCUUUUUUAUUAUUUAGAAUUGAACGAGAACUCUAAUUAAUAGAGUUCACAGAGAAAGCAAAUAAGGUAGUUUCCAUGUAGGAGACACCUACUUAAAAUAUGAUAAAACUUACUUCUUAAUUAGAAUUAAAACUAGGAAAUAGAACAAUAAUAAUAAUUAUAUGUCGUAUCUCAACACUCCCCCUCAAGCUUGACGUAAGCGUUGUAAAGGUCAAACUUGGACUUCAAAUAUUCCAACACUUCUCGUGAUGUAGCCUUUGUGAGUACAUUUGUUGUUUGUUCUGCGGAAGGAACAUACAGUACUUCAAUGACUCCACUUGAGGCCUUCUCGGAGAUGAACUGUCGAUCAACUUCAACAUGCUUGGUCCAGUCAUGAUAGACAGGAUUCUUGACAAUGCUUAUGAUAGAUUGGCUAUCAGCUCUAAUGACUAUAGGUCCUCUACAUUCAACCUUCGGUUCUUCUAAGAUUCUUUGUAGCCAUAUACCUUCGUAUAUUCCUAGAGCCAAAGCUCUAUAUUCUGCUUCUGCACUACUUCGAGCAACCACAUGUUGCUUCUUGCGCUUCCAAGUUACCAGAUUCCCCCAUACAUAAGUACAAUAUCCACUUGUAGAUCUUCGAUCCAUCAGUUCAACCGCCCAGCUUGCAUCAGUAAACACUUUAUUUCCCUGGCUGAAUGCUUCUGAAACCUUAAACCAAGUCCAAGAGCUCCCUUUAGAUAUCUCAAAAUCCGAAUAACUGCUUCCAUAUGUUCCUAUGUCGGGUUCUGCAUUUGUUGACUAACGAUUCCAACGGCAUAGACAAUGUCAGGUCUCGUAUGGGAAAGAUAUAUCAAUUUCCCUACAAGCUUCUGGCACCUUUCCUUGUUAGUUGGUGUUCCGGGUUCUUCUCGAUUUCACCUCUUGUUCUGCUCCAUCAGUAUGUCAACAGGUUUACAGCCUAGGAGUCCAAUUUCCGACAACAGAUCGAGAAUAUGUUUCCGCUGGCAUAUUAUCAAUGCAGCCUUCAAUCUAGCCACUUCCAUUCCAAGGAAAUUGCGGAGCUGCCCCAAAUCCUUAACCUAAAAUUCUGAUGACAGCCGAUGCUUCAACCGAAGAAUUUCAACUUCAUCAUCUCCGGCGAUAAUAAUAUCAUCAACAUAAAAAAUCCCAGACAUCAUUAAGCAAGAACCCUAAGAAUUACUUACAUAUCAGAUUGCACAUUUGUAACAGGAACGCACAGCAGCAGCUAUGUUAUUUAUGCCUUCAAAGAAAGAAUUACUAGCAAAAGGCUUCUGUACAAGGCAAUCCUUCUUGCCAUGACAAGGAAUACAGACAGAAACAUCUGACUGACUACUGCUGUUGCUAAAAUAUUCAGUUUCAAACAGUAACCUGCAAAUGGAAUGAAGAAACCCCAAACAAGAAUUACAGAAACAACAAGAUCUGCUUUCAUUGCUGCGCUGUCCCUAAAUCCCAUAAUAUUUGUUCCCACAGCUUAAUCACUGUUCUAUACAGCUGCAUGUAGUAUCCCUCACCUUCUCUCCUCAACUUAUUACCCCCUUUUCGUGGAAGGUGGCACCACCAAACCACAUUCUCAACAAAACAAACCAACAUUGCAAUAGGACAUAAUUUUGCUUGCUUGCACUAUAGAUAGAAUCUUUAUUCAACCUACAAUGAAGAACCCACCACUCCUAACUCCCCCCUACCAUAAAAUCAAUUUUACCUCAUCUGUGUUACAACAGCCCGGUCUCUUUACAUUACCUAUGCGCACUUGUAGUCGGGGGCAUUGGAUAUGCCAUCGGACCACCCAUUGUCAUUGGAGCCCCUGGAACCAUUGCUCCUGGAACUCGGGCUCUCACUCCAAAUGCCAUGUGUGAUGGUGAAGCUAGAUUCACAGGCGUCCCUACUGCUGAAACCAAUGGACCUCCAAUUGGUUGACCUAUUGUCGGAGCACCGUAGAUCCCCACCACUCCUGGAGGUCCGCCGGGAUGUUGAGAUGGCUGUUUCCCUGCCUUUCCCGAACCCCCUACACCAGCAGAAGCGCCAUUUGUUUGUCCAGUUAUUGGUCCUUGUGCAGCAGCUAUCUCCCCAUUGUUUAGACUAGUGAUAUCGUGAAUGCUGGAACGCCUUCGGUCCUUGUUCAUCGAGUUCAACCGGAUGAAAUACUUCUGAGCAUGGCUAGCAACUUGGGUAGGUGUCCUCGUCACCACAAAAUUCCUCGAUAUACUUCUCCAGUCACCUUUUCCAUAUUUUUCCAAUCCUAGAAGGAAUAACCUGUUGUCACAAGAGUAAUAUAUUUUCAGUAACAGGAUCCAUUGUCCAAGACUUGUAAGUUCAUCAUAGGCAACCAUUUAUAUAGUUGAAAAGAUUAAACAAAUUAAUUAACAGAAGGGUACACAAUGAAGUAGGUUCCUGUUCUAAGAGAGCAAUGCAGAAAACUAAUCGAGGUUUCUUCUUUUGCAAUUUAUGAUGCAAAUACUGGCAACCAUGUCCAAUGCCCCAUCCUUAAAUUCCACAUCAAUUCUAGUCUAUGAUGCAAUGCACGUGCAGAUCAAUUUAGAUAUGUCUAUGCAGAAGUCUAUCCACGCAAUUAAAAUCCUCUGUGAUAACAACAUACGGAAGCAUUCCUAUCCUCUCCGUGCAGUGCAAGUAAGAGACUAAAGGCUGCCAAAGAUUGUUUUAGAGAGUCUCAACAAGCUGCCCAAAGUUGAUGGGAACAGUAGCAAAGCUGUGUAGGAAUUUUUCCAGCAUAUUUGUUGGGUAACAAAUUUAUUAGCGUUUGAAACUGAAACUAGAGAUGUGCAGCUUAUACCUAGCUUGAAGAUAGGGAUACCAUCCAGUGAUUUCCAUGUAUUUGUGAACAUCCAAGAAUGUCGCAAAUGCUGUGCAUGCAAGUUUAUUGGUAAGGAAGAAAAACCACUUGGCAAAAGGUAAAAUCAGUUUGCAACAGCAUUACCCAUUGCGUUAAAAUCAGCUAUAAACAUAUAUCAUUUUGAGAAAUUAUAGUACCAAGAACAAGUUUCAUCUAUUAAAUUCAAUUUCGAGGAGAACCCAAGGAAAUGAAAGUCUUCGAGUCAUGUUAUAUAGUCAAUCUCUUAUCCUCCAAGGAAAAUUGAGAAGUGAAAUUCAAAACCAGGUCUUGAAAAGCAAUGAGAAACUAAAACACAACACUAUACGGUUCUGCCCUGAUAUAAGCAACACUAAAACAAGUAUGUGAUUCUUUCUCUUUCUAGGUACUGUGAAAGAAUGGAAAUGAACAGAAGAAUAUGCGAUUCUUUCUCUUUCUAGGUACUGUGAAAGAAGGGAAAUGAACAGAAGAACCUUUAUUUUGGUAUAAACAGAAGAACUCCUUUAAAACAGAGAUAAGCCCUUCAUCAGUCAUGAUAGGUAAAGUAGGAGGCAUUGUACUUCGAAUGUUAAAGAUUAUUGAAGAAGUUCUUAAAUAUCUCAUACAAAGUUGUUACUUAACCGCUGUUCACAAAUGAUGGAGUGCAGUUAUGUAGCUUACUAAGUUACUAUAGCGAGGGAGGGCACCCACUAGUAUUACGUUACGUGAGAUAGUUGUCUAUAGAUUAUAAAGGAGGACAUUCACCAAAGUAAAGCAAUUUAAGUCUUUAUGACCAAAAUGUAUAGGGCACAACGCAGACAUGAGUUCCAGGCCUUUCUUCCACUAAAGUACUUCGAUUAAAAUCUAAAUCCCGAACAAAGUUCCAAAAUUCUGUAAAUAGUAAAUUACCACCAACCCCUACUACAAGUGAAAAGGUAACAGGAGAAUACAAAUCUUCAUUAGCAGAGGGAAAGGAAAAAUUGACUCCAUUUUAGCAGCGCGUGUAUACAAUUCUCAUUUCUAAGUUACUCAUCGUAUAUUCUUCUACGAGCCAAAACACUUAGCAGCGGAAAUUCUCAAUAUAUUGAUAAGACAAAGAGGUCAUUAGUAUAUAGGGAAUAGCAAUUGCAAUUCAGGCGGAGCAAAAGGGAUACCUAUGUUCAUCUUCUGUCCAAGCAAUUCCCUUGCGGCGUUCCUGAUCUGCCCUUGAACCCUUAUUCCCCUGAUUGGACUCACUGUUGUUGUUUCCUCCUCCAUGGCCACCCUUCUUACCAGUACCUUCGUCGCCGCCAUGGCUGGUGGAAGACUCGGAAGACGAAUUAUAGCUGGGUAAAGGAACACACCCAGAUUCAAUGAGACCAAUGUCCUCAAGCAGGAGGUCAAAGUGGUCUUUAACCUCUUCCAGUGUCUUCCCCUCCACGUCUGUAGCAAUUUUCUCCCAUCGAUCUGAAUCGUCCUCUGGGUAAGUUGCCAGUGCAUUUUCGAACGCUUUAUCUUGCUCUCUAGUCCAAGAGCAGCUGCUACCCACUUCAUCCACAGCCAUCUAGCUACUUGUUCGUAAUCCACAAUCUGAAAGAGGGAAACUCUAUUGAAGACGAGCGGUGCAGCUUGGAAUCUACUCCAGAAGCCCCUGCUGUGGCCAAGGUGUUUCAGUGAGAAGGUUUGUAACCUUCAGAUGCUCAUUAACACUGAAAUUCGACGAGGAAAACAGAGAACGAUAAGAAGAGAAUGGUGAAUUGAAGGAACAGAGGAGGAGAAAAGAGGGGAUUGUUGAAAUUUUGUCACUUGCCUAUUCCUUCGAUACCCUAGAAGAUUAUAUACGAUUGCUGAAGAUAAACAAAGGGAUAAGGGUGAUUGUGAGCUUUAUUAUCUCUAGCGGUCACUUCCUUAUUCUUUCUUUACAAAUUGAUCAGUUAAAGUUUUCCUCCAUAAAUCGGUCACAAACCUUUUUAUAUUUUGACUAUUAGUAACCUAUUCUUAUGAUUGCUUUCGGGUGGGGAUUGUAAAAACGGUUACAUUUAUCAGUUAGGUGAAUCGAAAUCAUAAACUCGUAAGAUUUUAUGAAAUAAUGUAUGAUAUUCUCAUAUGCCACUGUCACCAUUGUCAGGCAUCCCACCACAACUAAUUUCGGCUAUUUGUGAUAUGUUGUUAUUGAAUUUAUUUGCUAAUAUGUAAUGUGAACACUUAUUCCAAUUGAAAUUAAUGGAUGGAAGCCAACAAAAAAUAAAAUAAAGCCAAAAAAAUAGAUUUAAUGGUUCUGGGUGUCCUUCAUAGUGACGAUUAAUAAUAAAAAAAUAAGAAAAUUAAUGAAUAAAAGAAAUAAUUAAUCGGGUAAUGUGUUGGGAGGGAAAAAUUAAUCUGAAAGUCAUUAAUAAUGUAUGAAAGGAAUUAGAAGAAUUAAAUUAAUAUUUGUGCGGAAGUAGGUGUCAUUAGAAAAAAAUCAAAUUCCAGGUAUAAGUAUUUUUAAUCUAUUACAAAAUGAUCAUUGAAGUUAUAAUGUCGAGCAGUGCCGAGGAUCAGCUAACGAUUCGGCAGCAGGCAUUUUGAACAAUAGGCGGUAGGGCACGAGCGGUAGCACGAGGGAGAGUUGGAUAUGAUGUGUUCAAGCAGUGGCACUCGCUCUGCAGACUUGGCCAUUCACGUCGGAGUUUAGAGGCAUGGGCUAGCAAGUAUGAAGUGCAACUAACAACUCUUACUGAUGUCUCGGAUCACGGUUUGGUGCAGUUCAGACGGGCUGGCGAUUUCGUUAAGUGACCUGUGUUACUACAGCAGCACUAUUGUUGGCUGGCUGGUUAGUUUCUGAGGGAAGCUAUUGCAUCAGCUCAUCAGAUGAUCUGCAAAGGUUAGUGUUUCGGAUAGGCUUUGCAAAUUACAAGUUUGGAUGAAGUUAAAUGUCCAAUUGAAUUGACACAGGCUUUGCAAAUUGCAAACUGCUGGAAAAUCCAAUGGAAUGCGUCAACUAAAUGAGAGAAGAGAAGUAAAUGUGUCAGUAACCAAAAUAGACAAACUAAUAACGCCAUUAUGAUGCUCUUAUACCACACCAACAGCAGAAUUAACACAGGCUGGAAUCCGACUAUGCAUCGCAGACCGAUUGCAUGUGUCUGCAGGAUUCAGCCAUGUCGCGCCAGUGCCGGGGUCCUAAGACUGAGGCAUUCGUGAUGCCUGGCCAUCAUAAGCAAGCAGUAGAAGAUAUGGCAAAAAGAAAAAGCAAUGAGGGGGAUGAACAGGAAAGCAGAAAUGAAAGGAGAUUGUUGUGGGUAAACAAGUCCUGGGAUUACAUACAGUGAUUACAAAUAACAUCGUGUCUGAAAUGGAAUUACAUAAAUUCAUUCACACGCAGCAGAGCAAUAUUCUCUAUACUAGUCAUUUGUGUACCUGAAUAACAAGUAUUAUAAUAUUCUGAUUCAUUGAAGUACACAGCCGGUGAGGAAGAAGGUUUCUUACUGGGACAUCCACAAAGCUUGUGGAUUGGAUGACGCUAGUUGUUGUCUUCCAGCUACGGAGUCGCUAAAUGUGCUCAUUCCUUGGGGAGAAAUUGAAACCACCAAUCGAUCAAUCAAGGUACUCGAACUCAUCGUCCCGGAGAUGGGCGAAUAGCUUGACAGGUGCGUCUCGACCUUCGAUGUCCAACAAGAAUUCUACCUUGUAAGGGAGAUUGGCGGAGAUUUGCUUGCCCUUCCAAACCCCGACGAACUGCUUGAUCUUGCCUUCUUUGCCAGUCAGAUCCACCUCCGGCACUUUAGGGACAUGGUAGACCUUCAGCGGCACCUUCACUCUCACCCUCGCUCCAAUCUUAUGCUGCUCUUCUUGCUGUUGGGGAUCCGAUUUGGCGGAGGAUUCGUUCGACGACCGGACGGCCACUUCGCAUGAGACCACCAGCUUCCGAUUAUGCUUCCGAACAGAAGGAGGAGUGGAGGAGAGUGGCGGGAGGAUUCGAGUAGUAGGCCGGGGAGAAGGCAGAAGGCCUAGAACGGCGGUGGCGGCAGUGGAGGAGGAGGACGCACAAAAACUCAUCUCGACUCGAGUGGCAGUUGUCUGUCAGUCUGCUCGCUUCUGGAUUGAGUGUGGUGGUGGAGGAAAUGGUGGUGUCUGUGUGGUGUGUGUUGCCUAGUAAUGUAUAUUUCUUCCGUCGUUGCCCGCCGUCAUUUUGUAUUGUUUGGGUUUCCGACUGUGGAUAAUUUGGGAUUUACGGAAAGAAAAGAGGAUUUAGGGAUUGGAAUUGCACGCGGGAACAGAGAGAUGGGCUGAGAGUGUGUGGAUGAGGAGUAAGGGUGGGCCAUGGAUUUAGGAACCACACAACUUAUCUAUCUUUACCUUCUCGGCUCAUCGUCUGGAAUUUGUCCCAUUUCAAAAUGCUCUACGCCAAACUUGGGUUAAACGUGUCAAAUCCGACGGGUUAGUCGAUAUAGAAAAGAAACGAGAUAACCUAACAUCUAUCUGAACUAUGAUAUCGCUCUCAACACUACUCGGCCAGUGGUAGAUACAGGAGAUCCGCUCCAAGGCCCGACCCAUCUCAUUUUCCUAUUUAGUAAUUGUAUCACAUUGUGGCAAGACUGUUGUGAAGCGUCCUUUUAUCAACUAGUAUUAUCAACCUAGAAUCUAAGUGUUAAAUCUUCUAUAGCUUGUGUUUGUAACAUCUCGUCCAGACUGGAAAACCGACUGUAUUGAUUCUUGAUAUUAAGCUUGGAGUCAUUCGGAGAUCAAUCAAAGGUUGACGAAAUGAAAGAAACUAGUUUGUAUAGUUGCAGUAAAAAAGGUUAAGCCUCAACUGUCUGUUGUAUGUUGGCCUGCCAUAUAACAGCAGUAACUCACGUGUGUUUGAUGCUAUUGGAUUUUCUCACUCCAAAACCUAAUUCAAAAGGUGAGAUUUAUAAGCAACACCCAACCCUUUCUAUUCUAUGAUGUGUGCUAGAUAACCCAACGAUGUGUGAUUGAUAACCCAACAGAUCCUUCCACUCUUCGAUAUAAAAGUUGAACCAGAGUCUGUGGAUCCAUUAGACAGGACGGCUCGCUUAAGCACACGAUACACAAAUACAUCAUGUCCCUAUCCUGUGGAGCGCCACAACAGCGUCUCCUACCUUGCACAGACCCUUCUUCGUUGCUGAUCUCAGAGCCGCGGCUAAUAUCUCCUCAGUCGAUUCUGUAUCAGUAGCCUUUGCAGACCCUUCCGCCAGCACAGGGAUCAGUCCCCUGUAUAUCAGGCUGUGCCUUGCUGGCGCCUCAUCACUACACGACCAAUCGAACGAAUCGGUGGUCAACACCGGCACAACCACAGAAAGAAUUGGUACCGCGGGCCUGUACUUAGCCACCAACGUGGCUGUCGUUCCGCCACGUGUCAGCACCACUAUCAGCUUCGCUCUAGCUUUGUUCGCUGUCCGGACAGCAGAAGACGCAAGGCUCUCCAAGGGGCUCAUCGGAAGUGGAGUUGCCCUUAUCAUCUCCUUAAAGAUGGUCCCAUAGUCCAGCGACGACUCGGCUUCUAUGCAGAUCCUGCGCAUGGUCUUCACCGCGAGUUCAGGGUAUGCGCCGGCUGCACUCUCCCCACUCAGCAUCACGCAAUCAGUGCCGUCGAGGACAGCAUUGGCAACAUCCGUGGCUUCUGCACGAGUUGGACGCGGAGACUUGAUCAUGGACUCGAGCAUCUGAGUAGCAGUCACCACCGGCUUCCCCACUAGGUUGCACUUGUAUAUCAUCAUCUUCUGAGCAAGGAAUAUCUUCUCAACCGGAAUCUCCAUUCCCAGAUCGCCACGAGCAACCAUGAAUGCAUCCGUCUCUCGCAAUAUCUCGUCGAAGUUGACAACACCCUCCUGAUUCUCAACCUAUCAAACAAAGAGGACAAAAAUAGGGAAGAAAGCUGAUAAAUAUGUUCUUCAGACAUACAAUAUAUUAUAAUGAUAUAGAUAAUGAGGGCAUCCAGCAGCAUAACAUUAGAACUUAGGCCUUGCUUGGUGGAGGGAAUCUUAAAACCAUAUACUUGAUUGAUCCAAUAACAAUGAUUAAACAGCAUGCAUUUGUAAAUGCAAGGGAUUGACACUAGGGAUGUUAACAAAUCCUUUGCUUGGUAUUCAUGUCAAGGUGGAAUUUGAGAAAUGUAAAACAAAUGAUUCCUUUGGUAUCAAAUCUUAUAUGGGUAAGGUUUCAGAAUCCCUGUUGGCAUGUAUUUGAAUUUUGAGAUUUUAAAUUACAUAUAUUUGCCUCGUUGUUUCUAGUACUGUAUCAAAUAGAGGGUUCAAUCAAAUACAUAGAUACUUAAAUACAUGGUUUAAUAAAAUUACUCAUAUUUAGAAGCAGAAGAUUCACACAACAGGAGGCAGGGCAACAAGCUCAUUGUCAUCAUCCAUCCUAAAGAUAAUUGACAGCAAAAAUUAAAGAGGGGGGAAGUUACCUUAGACAUUAACUUGAUAUUCUUGGCAUGGGGUCCAAGGACCUUGCGGACAUUGACAAGGUCAGAGCCCUUGCGCACAAAUGAGAGAGCAAUCAUAUCGAUGGAGUUAGGAACACCCCCAUUGAAGGAUGUCUUCCCUGUCCUUGUCAGUGAGAGUUGGGAGAUCCACCACAACACCCGGUAGAUUGACAUUUUUCCUCUCGCCAAGCACGGCAGCAUUUUCACAGCGGCAUCUUACGGUUCCAGCCUUUGGAUCACAGGAUAGCACGGUGAGGGAGAUGGUGCCGUCGGAACACAAGAUAGUGUUGCCAGGUUUCACAUCCAGAGGAAGCUUCUUAUAGCUCAUGGAGAUCGUCUCCGUAUCUCCCUUGAUGGUGUAGUCAGUAGAGAUGGUGAUUUCUUGGCCCUCUUUGAGUUGGAUUGGCUUCUCAUCCUUGAGGAAUCCGGUUCGAAUCUCUGGUCCCUGCAACGGAUAAAAAAGAUUCUUAAACAUCGAGAGACUGUUUUGACAAAUUAGAAAGCAUUGGAAGAGAAGAGUGUAUAAGAAAUAGACCUUGGUGUCGAGCAUGACGGCGCAGAGGAUGCUGGAAUUGUGCAUGGCGAUGCGGAGGUUGUCCAAGGUCUCCUGGUGGUAGUCGUGGGAGCCGUGGGAGAAAUUGAAGCGGGCGACGUUCAUGCCAGCCCUGAGAAGCUUCUCGAUCAUGGGGACAGAUCUAGAGGCAGGACCGAGAGUGCAUACGAUUUUGGUCUUAGGGACGCGACCUUCGUCGACUUCGUCGUCGCCCCGGAGGAGGCCCUCGAUAUCAAUGUUAGCCAUUCUCAGUAGUUGAUUGAUCCGCUGCUGCUGUGAAACUGAGAGUUAAGUAAGCACAAAAUGAAGAAGGUGAGUGUAAGGUUUAGAUCUAACAAGAGAGGAAGUGGAAUUGAGCGAGGCGGAGAGUAGUGGAUGGUGACAGCAGUCGGAAAGUUCAGGCAAAAUUUCUGUUUCAAAUGGUGGGUGUGUGCUACAAUGUCUGUCCUCCGCCCCAAGUUUCGAGUGACAUUAAUUAAAACUGUGGGUGCGGUGCAAAACUGCGACUUGUUCAUCUUCUUCAGUGGUUUAGUUUCAGUUUCAGUCACGGCAUUAUCAUACAGCAUCUUUGGCACAACACAACCACCACAUGCAUUACCGGCGGUCUGUGGUACUUGGAUGAGAUAAGCAUUAAUCUAAGCCCUUAAAUCCCCAAAGUGAUCUAAGGGCUUAGAUUACUCGGGAAGUGCACACUUCGUUCCCUUUUAACAUAGCAAUUCAGUAAUUUCAAUUAACAUCAAACUUAAUUACCCACUCUAACCUUAUUAUCAUAUAUAUAUAUGUGAUUCAAUCAAUGUAACUAUCUAUGAAAACAAAUUUGCCUCUGAGUAAUCAUGCUACAUUCAAUCUUCACCAUCUUCGUUAGCUGUUACUUCUCUGGUUAGCUUGUUGUUGCUGCGCCCGCCGCAAUAGCCCUGUCUCGUUUCACCAUUGUCUUCACAAACAGUUCCCCAGCUCUAUAAGACGACCGAACCUGCGCAUGCCGACCCACAAACAAUACGUUAUCUAAUUGCCUCCCAACUACUUCUCGUUGUUCUAGCAGACUCACUUCUGCAGCAAGCAUUGGGUUCUAAAUUUCAGUUCAACACAAGUUUCGUGUCACAAAGAAAUCAACAAUAUUAGAACUAGUCAAAAUCACACACAGAGCCGAAAACGUUUACCAGAGGACCACUGGCUACAUAACGGAAUCCGACAGACUCGCCAUAUUCCUUCCAGAAGACAAACUUCUCAGGUGUCACAUACUCCUUCACAGUUAGGUGCAGUGGAGUUGGCUGCAAGAAGUCGUGCAAUGCUCGUCAGUUUACAAAUUCAUGCUCCAACACUGAACAUAACCAUUGCAGCCAGGGCAUAAAAACCAACACUUCGGAAAUAUAUAGUUGCAUUGGAAAACAUGAGAAAGAAACCUCAUUUUCAGCAUUGUUUCACUUUGAAUCCAGGAAACAUCCAACUCACAUACUGUAUUGGUAGAAACAUAUACUGAAUGGGGGUAUAGAAGCAGAAGUCAAUCCAUAUAUAAGGUCACCUGUAAGUACUGCCCAAGCGUCAGAAUAUCGACACCAAUAGCCCUUAAAUCAGCCAUGGUCUCCUUCAACUCCUCGUCGGUUUCUCCAAGACCCAACAUUAUAGAUGUUUUCGUUAUCAUACCAUCCUUGUUCAGCUUAGCAUGCUUCAACACACUCAAGCUUUGCUCAUACCUAAAAUGCAGAACAAACCAAAUGAGGAGAAAACAAAAGUAGUCAGAGACGACAAGUUUUCAAGUGUACAACAGAAGAAAUGUCGUCCAGCAUGAUGAAUUCUUCCAGAUUCAACCCGGAAACAAAAACAUGACAACAAUUGUAUUUGCAGAGAUUUCAAGUGUGCAGCCAAGCCACGAAGUAUCAAGUGCUGAAUCCAAUUUUAUCAAACUAGUGGAGCAAUGUAGUACCUACCCUGCACGAGGAUCUCUAACAAUUCGCUGAAGGCGUUUCACAGUCUCAACGUUGUGGGCAAAGACAUCCAAUCCUGAAUGUACCAGUGUGUCCACCGCCUCCAAGUCGCCACGAAAAUCAGAGGUCAGACACUCAACCAUGAUCUCAGGCUUCACUUCCUGCGACAAGCAAACAGACAAAAAAAAACCCCGAUCAUAACCACAAAUUCAGAGCUUUGGGAUUCGUCGAGAGACAAUAAAUCGAAAAUCAAGACAAACCUUAAGGGCCAUAACGGUGCGAGCAAAGUGUCCACUCCCUCCAUCAGGCAAAUCAUCGCGAUCGACGCUUGUCAGGACGAUGUAAUCCACACUAUGGAGGAUGGACAAGUUGAGAAUAGGGAAAAAGAUACUCCGUUUACAAGAAAAGAGCGGGAAUACAUACAAACAUACCCCCAAGAAGCGAUAGCCAGAGCGGUGUUGUAGGGCUCGGCGGGGUCUGGAGGGGCAGGGUUCCUGCUGGUUUUGACUGCACAAAAUCUACAGCCACGAGUACAAGUGUCUCCGAGAAGCAUGAUGGUGGCGGUGGAGAUCCCGUCGCUGCCACCGUUCCAGCACUCGCCAAUGUUUGGGCAUUGUGCCUCCUCGCAUACAGUGCUGAGGUUGGACUUGGAGAGCGUUUUCUUAACAUCGUCAAAACGAUGGCCCUGAGGAGCCUUCUGCCUAAGCCACUCGGGUUUCUUAACAUUCGGAUCCCUACCAGUGAACGGACCGAGAGCAGCUGCGGAAGAAGAAGAAGAAGAAGAAGAAGAAGAAGUGGUGCUGCCUGAAGCAAGAUCAACCCUAAUUCGCCAGGAACGAGAAAGCCGAAUCGAAAGGAAGGAGUGGCUGGAAGAGACGGCGUUGGUAGGGGUGGGAUGGUGAACCAUGGAACAAUUGGAGGACAGGAAUUGCUUCUGAAUCAUCAUCGUCGCCAUCGCCUAUGCUCUCUGUCUCGGCUGGCUGGGUUUGGCUUUUCCUUUAAUCGGACAGGAAAUAGAAGAGGAAGAGGUGACGGAGAAAGCAAUGGAAACUGGAAAGGAGGAGAUGGAUAGAAAUGGCAACAUAUAGAGUACUCCGCCGCAGCUGCUACUGCCAAACGAAAAGGGAGAGAGAGAGGAUUAGAGGAAUAGCCAUUUCUUCUGGUUUAUUAGUAGUUUGGGCUUUGUCGUUAAAAUUGGAAUGAAUUUACACCAAGUACUAUUACCAGCGUUGAUACUCGUAACUGACUCACAAGGGAGCGGAAGGCUGAGAAUCCAGUCAAAACAUCAAGCGGGCUCUUUUCAUUCAAACUGAGAGGCUUGGACUUCAGAUCCAAAAGUGAAGGAAUCAGAAAACACUUUAAUCCUCACUGCAAUAAUGUUAAAACAAACCAAAACAACACAGCGUAUUUUUCAAACACUCUUUUUUAAGUUACUAACUACACUAUACUUGGUGCAUGCAGAGCAGCAAGCAGCAUUUCUCUUCUUCCUCCAUUCAGCAACCACACUGACAGCAUCAUCUCUAUCCAAGAGAGAUACAUUUGUUAGCCUUUUCUGGUCGAGUGUGUAAUACCAACCAUGUGUGUUACGUCACGGAACAAUGUCCCCUCCAGUUAGCAGGAAUUUACAAGCAAAUAACUCCCUUGCUCUCAGCCAAUCCACUUCAGCAGAUCAAGCAACUUCCCCUCAGCCUUGGUUGGCUCAUGAUACUUCUUGUAAAGCCAAAUUCAACUCCUGUGCACACUUCCCUACCGAGCCUCCUCGUCUGAAAAACGGCAGGAUAAUCAUUAUAGUGGCGAGCUAUUACUAUCUGACUAGUGUGGGAUGAAAUACUCCAAAACUAUACAUACCUUGUGAAUGUAGAAAGGCAACGCUUCACCUUUUCUAGCUCUACGAAGCAAAGAUUACAUCGUUCCAACCUGUGUGAUCCAAUGAAAAAAUUCAGUGCGCAAAACCAGAAUAAUUACCGUGGAACUGCGGACAACUCUUAACCUGUAAAGUAAUUAAUUACCUUCUCUCUGCCUCAAUGUCUACACCGACAGUGGUGGAUGCCGAUACAGUUGUGUAGAUCAUGGUCCCAAAUGUUCGAACCAACUUCAGCAGCAAGUCCAUUGAGAUGCUCAAGUGUCUGCACUUGUCAAAAAUCAAUCCAAUUAACAUGAUGGAAAUUACUACAACAGACAAAACCAAGCACCCACCAACACAAUUUUUCAGAGAAAUAGCCGUCUUGAUUUGUAGGAUGUUUUUUCAAUCCCUUAUGAUUUAUGAUGAAAUUAACAUUCUUUCAGUUAUUUAUAAUUCCCGUAACCACCCUUGGGAACUAAACAGGACUUCUACAAAUUAAAACAGGUUACACAUCACGUAACCACAAAAUUUUUUAAAGCCGACCCUCAAAGGUUCCAGCAGCUUAAAUCUCGUAUACUAUGAUUGGCUGAACAUAGAAACAGGCUUGAAUCUGACAAUAUCAACAAUCUCAUACCGAUCAAUUUUACUCUCGAGAAGGCAUGUUAAAACUGGCAGAAGAUAUGUGCAAAUGUCCAAUGUGACAAUGUCAAUUUUCUCAGCAAUGAUACUGGUUACAUCAGCAAGAACCUGUAAUUUAGCAAAGCAGAGACAUCAAUGAAUUGUGAAAAUUAACAAGAACUCAACAUUGCCUGCUGGGAAAGGAAAAGAGAGUGUACCGCAUGAUCAGCCAUCUUCUCCAUUGCACUGAUCGCCCCCUUGACAUCACUCCGUUCCCAGUAUCUAUAGACAGCCUGAAAUUAAUCAAAAUUUUCAGUCUUAAAUCACCAACAUCAACUAACUUGACGUUGAACCUGAGUAUCAAAUCAUUAUGUAUAAAUCGUUUCAACGAAGCUGUGGAUGAGAGCAGCAGCAGCAAUACAAUAGUAGAUUGAUAGACCAAUUAUAUUCCAGCAUAAUCCCCUCCCAUGCUCCCAACUAAUGUCAGAUUAUUGAUAAUUGUUGAGAUACGGCAGAAUAGUUAUUAUUAUUUGUUCCUUUUCUAGCUUGUCUUGAUUAGGAAGUUAUUACCUAUAAAUAUAGUAAUAGAGUCCAAUAAGGACAUUCCUUUAUUGCAUAGGAAGUCAGUAUUAUUCUAAUAAGGGUAGUAGUCUUUUCCUAUAAGAACUUGGACUCUAACCCUAAUUGUACAACUCUAUUAUAAAUAGAGCUAGUUAUCAUUCAAGAUCAAUAACAAUAUAAAUUAACUCACAAAUUAGCAGUUUUGGUUCCCAAUUUGACAAUAAUGAUGAUAAGACUUUAUACCAGAACAAUUGACUCUUAAAGAACUCAAUGUUCACAUUCCUACUUAGCAGAAUCGACAGGAAAUACACAAUAGAUUGUCUAUCAGGUGAAGGUUGCAUAACAGAAAAUUGGAACACUGUGAAAGGAACUCAGCUUUAUAGCGAUGACGUUGUGUGUGUGUUACUAAAAAACUAAAACAAAUCAACGGGGCAGAGCCUGUAAGUCCCAUAAUUUCAUGCAGACAUGCAGUCAAAGAAUGGGGCAUGAAGCAUUGUGCCCGCUGUUUCUUCAAUCGCAUAAGUACCAUGCCUUAUUGGAGAACAAUGUCCGUGGAUGGCAGUCAGAGGAAGGCCACUCAAUUCAGUGCAUUCAAUCAUGAAAAGAGUUGCUUCUAUCAAGCAACUGGAUCUCUUGGUAGAAAAGCUGAUCAUUAUUUGAGAGGGUCAGCCCAAUCAAAACAUCUCAAACUCUUUCCCAUAGAUAGGCAGCAAGAGAAAGCUUUUGUAGAUUCUUGAAACAAAAGAUGCAAGCUGAACAGAACCGCUGAACUGAACAACGAAUUCUCUACUACUUCAACCACCCCAGGUUUUCAUUUUCACAAAAACAAAUUAAUUAAAAACACGCCCCUAUUAAUGAAAGACCACUCUCUACAGAAAUAAUUCCAUAUCAUAAAUAUUUUUAUGAUGAAAAUCCAAGUCCUUGGAGACCAACCCACAUAUCUAUUGGCUAUUGCAUCAACAAACACCUUCAGAAGAAGACUCAAGGGUCAACUGCGGGAUGCUCAUUUUACAUAUAUUUCAUAACCACUUUAAUCUAGCUCAAUACUUCAAGCGGUCUUCCAAGAGGUAAUGGGAAUGAAAAACAUAUAACCUGGAUUCAACCCUCAAGAUAAACCUUCCAUUUCUCAAACAUCUCCCCCUCGAUCCACGGCUCAAAAUAUCAAUUUCCUAACCAAUCAAACUGCUCUUCUUUACCUCUACUACCUGCUUUCGAGUUGUACUCGACACACUACUGAAACAAAAAUGCAGUAUAUACUUUGAAUUCAUGAUCACCUGUAGUUUUGCUAAUCGAGAUUGCAUAGAGCUCACGAAUUGGCAAUGCGGUUCCAUUACAUCAGCGAUAUAAUCCUCAUCAGUGCCCAAAACUGUUUCUGCUUCAGGAGAUGAAGUGUAUUCUCUCUGGUUAAAGUUCAAACUAUCAGAGAUACAAAAAAUGCACGAUAUAUAUAUUCUAGAGGUACAGUUUGUGCGUAUGUUAUCAAUGUCUGGCUUCAGAUUGAUUGCCUUUACUUGUAUGGAGGGGGAGAGAGACAUACCGUGUCAGGGUCACGGAGUUUCUAAAUGAGACACAAACAUAACAUUCCUUUGCAUGUUCAAAAACCAUGGUGAACUAUAUCUCUACAACUAUAAGGUAGGUCUAGGAGUAUCGUUUUCUGUAGUCAGGUUGUGGUCAUAAUAGUAGCAUAGGUAAAGCAUAUACGAAGCUUGUCUUUUCUUUUUCAGUUUCAUUUUGAGUAUGCAUGCAAGAGAUCUCUUUUGAACAAAUGUUGUUGGGCAUAGACGAAUACCACUACGGUGCCAUAUGAAAUAGAAAAACAAAGUAGUAAACCAUACUCUAUUACGAGGGAGAACAACCGUGGACGCUCGCCCAGGUGAAAUAUCAGAUAUAUGGCCCUGAUAAUUUGAUCUUCCUUUUUUCCCCAUAUUAAGCACAAGUGGGCGCAUUCUUCCUACACAUGUCAUAUGCAUAAGAAAGUAAAUACUUAUUUUCCUUCUCCAGUAAUAUCAACAAUCGCGAACACAUGAAUAAAAUUAAGGCAUACCUCCUUUUUGGCUUUCAUUUGGAGGUAAAUCCCUAAUUAAUUUAUGGCCACGAUUCUCAUCUGCAAAAAGCCAAAUACAGCACACAAGCCAAUUAUUCCACGUACAAGUGCAAAUAAUCUUACCCUGAGUAGCCAGAUGAGCAUUUAUACCUGAAACUUAGGAACCGCUAGCCAAUAAUAUACUUUUCCAAUGGAUCAAUAAAACACUAUAAUGCGGAAGUUUGUGGAACUUACAAGUUUCGUCAGGAUAGGUUGUAGGUACAUCUGCCAGGAAACUUGAUUCUUGUGUUCUUGAUGCAAUCAAUCUCCCAUCCUUCAUACUUCUUUCAGCAGCCAGAACUCCAUGAAUUGAGCGCUUAGCUGUAGGAAAAAGUGGUCUAUCUACCAUAUUUGUUCCCAAAGGACCAGGCUGGGCAGAGAUAGUUGGCUGGUCUAUGUCAUCACUACUAAUUGGGAACCUUCGAAAAUCAGUUGUCUUUGACUGCACCGGAAAUGGCAUUGAUCUUCCGCUGAUACUAGCCUCCUUUCUCGAAUCAGAGCUAUGUUCCGACCUUGCACUAGUUCUAGGCACAAUAACAGGUAUGACUUCUGCCUUACUAAGGACUGGACUACUCACAGCUGGAUUCACUUUCAUAUAAUUCUUCUUUGUGACUGCAGUACUUGGAAAUGUUGUGGAAUUGGUCAAUGCUUUCACGCCAGUGUUUAAGCUGACCUUUUGAGGAGUACCAGGUACACUUCCCACGGCUUCAAACAGAACCAACAAAAAAUUAGGAAGAAUGGUACUCGAUGGAAAGAAUAUAAAUGGAAGAAAAGAAGGACCAUUUUUACUUGAGUUUGAAUUAAGAACACUUCUUAAGAAAUCGUGAAAAGAAUAUUAAGAGUGACGUACGUGCUAAGAUCUUUGACUCCUUUGGUAAAUCUUUAGAGCUAUCAGAAUUUGAAGAGACAGACAAUCUACCAAGCGACUUGGUCUCAUUUACUAAUGAGUCUGCAACUUGAGAAACCGUUAUCCUCCCCAAACUUGAUUUUGCAUUUUUCUCAGUCAAUGAUGAUUGAUUCCCUGCUGCAUUAGCUUUAGUUUCCACGUGACUACUGAACCUCUGAGAAUUUCCAAUUGCAUAUGGUUCUAUGCGCUGUCAAUACACACAACAGUGAGAGAUGCUAAGAUUUAAGCCCGUAUCUAAAACAAUCAAGAACCAUAGACUGGCUAAAAUAUUUUUUCAUACCGAGGUGUCCACUACCCAUACUCCUACACAGCUUUGAUUAUAAGAACACCCAAGGAGUUUUCCCUCAUUGACAUGCAGAUCUGACAAUUUGGACCAUCCCACAUCAACAGCAUCGUGACAUCUAAUUGGUUCCCAAGAGAAAACCUACAUAUAAACAAAAGGAAGCUGAUGGUCAAGGAGUAUUAACUGAAUAUCAUAAUAAACCCCAACAGACAAAUUGCAAAAGAUCUAACCUUCAGACUUUCAUGAAAACCACAGAGGAUGUUCCUACCAUCAGGAUUAAAGGUCAAACAACGUACUCCAGAUGCCUAAGUAAAACAGGAAGUCCAAAAAAGCAUUUGUAAAGGCUAUACAGGACCUCUUUUGAUACAGAGAAAAUGGCUUUGGAUAUAAAAUUACCUCUGGAUUAGUAGAACCGAUUAAUUCAAAGGUUUCCAGAUCAAAAAAUUUAACAGUUUUAUCAGCAGAUCCUGACGAAGGGAAGAAAGAGAAAGAGUCAAAGAAAGCAACAAACUUCAUUAACAAUGAAUAGAUUUGUCACUCGUACUGAUUAAGAUAUGGAGUUCAUCAGUUAAUUCUUUUGGCCAACUGCCUAUCUGCAUGUAUAUUUUCAAAUCAAAAUUACUUACUCCGUCAGAUUUAUCUUCCAAAUGACUCAAAAGUCAAAAGUAAUGAGAUAGCAUAUACAACGGCCAACUGACAUUCUGGUUAAGAUAUACAUCUAACAAUUGUGACUUUAUCGAAACUAUUGAAAUAGUUUCAAUGAGACAUUAAGAUUGGCACUAAAGAAGUGCACCCUCGAGAGAUAUAUGUAAUUCAUUAUGUCCGUACAGGAACUAUUCAAAUAGUUUCAAUUCAAUCAGACAAUAAAAAAGGCACUAAAGAAACACCCUCAAAUGAACUCUGAAAUAAAAUCAAAAUUGACAAGGCAGCAAAGCUGGCAACAAAAGAAAAACUAACCUGUCGCCAAAAGGAACUCGUGGGGAUGGAAAUCUAUGCAUUGAAUUUGGCCCUCAUGACACUUGAAAUCAUGCAAUAGCUUGCCGGCAGUCAGAUCCCACAGCUGUUUGGAUAACAGGAUUUGCUAAGUAAAUAAAUUAAGUAUGUACAUGUAAAAUGUAAAUAUAUGUUUCUCUAUUCAGCUCAAUAUAAAUUGCAUAUAGUUUGAGUCUAUCAAUACUGUUAAACAGAGUUCACUAGAGAUGGUGCUCUGCAGACGGUUAUUUAUCAAAAUGCAGAGCCUGACGCCAGAUCCAGGACAAAAUAUCCAAGUCAUUGAAACAAUAGCAUUUCCUCUGACUAACAACCUCUUACUCUGAAAUUUGUCUCAUAUUUCAAUAGCAUAACUAGACAACUAAAGAACAGUCAAAGAAUACAUGCAGAUAUCACAGUAAGAUAGAAAGCAAGAAGCAAGGUUUACCAUUGACCGCUCGGGAAAUAGUUCUACCACAUACGCAAUAUGCCGGAGAAAAUAAAACUACAUAUAAAGCCCCUGAGCGUAAUAUAAACAGGAGAUAGUAAUGCAAUAACAACCUUGACAGUGUUGUCCUCUCCACCGGAUACAACCCAACGACCAUCUGGAGUAAAUCUAAUGGCAUUGACUCCUCUAGUGUGGCCCUUGUAAGUGUGGAUACAGCCCUUCUUUCUGAUGUCCCAUAUCUUCAGAUUAGUAUCCAAGGAACCAGAUGCAAAGAACUCUCCGAAAGGGUGAAAGUCCACAGAAAUACAGUUGGAUCUAUGGCCGGUGAGGGUACGGACAACUGGGAGGAGAAAUUAAAAAGAAAGAUGAAAAAUAUGAGUUAAUAGCGAAUGAAAGAACCAAAGAGACUGUAAAGACAACAAACAGCAGCAGUCAUAUUCAUGUCCAAUCUAAACAUACUCUUGGCCUCCUCUAAAUCCCAAAGUUUGAUGGUACCACUGGCAGCACCUGCGGCUACUAAGACUUCAGAAGAAUCAAAACCAACCGAAUCAAUUCCACUUGUAUGUCCUGACAGACUCUGCACAGCGCAUGGAAGAUAAAGUAUAAGUUGAGAAGUCAACAAGGUAAAAAAGAGUCGUUACAAUAUGAUGGAGAAAGGAAAACGGAGGCAAAGCUCACCAAUAAGGCAUUGGGUUUGCCAAUGGACCACAGAUUAACCUUGUGAUCUUCACCACCAGUGACAAGAAGCCUAGAGGAUUUCCUCCCAAUCUUUAGACAAUUAACAGCAGAAGAAUGUGCUACAAAUUCCUCUAGAAAAGAAAAACUGGUCAAGGAGAAGACAGACCUCGUGUGUAAAGACGAACAUAAAUAAAAAAAAGGGUGAGAAGUAAAGUAAAAGUGCAGAUCACAGGCAUGGAUGAAUUGAAGCAAGCAAAGGAAGGAUACGGAGCUUGUAUGCGCGUUUGGUAGUCAUGACUGCCGGUAGAAACUAAAAUUACAAACGAAACGGGGGAGGAGAGACAACAACUGCUUCUUCUUCUUCUUGCUAUUGUGGCUGUGGCAGAGAUCAUUUAUGAAGAAUGCGACUGCGAUUCAUCCAGUCUGAAAUCAGAUCUCGACAACUGGAAGUCGUAUCAGGUACUGCCGCCACCACCGCCGCCGUAUAUCAUUCAACCAGUAGGUAAGGUACGGAACUAUAUCACGAGAAAUUGAAGAGAGCGGGGUGAAGGUAAAUAAAAUAGUAGCGUGAGAUCAGACAGUAGAGUAAUACAAAAAUGCAAAGAGAAAGAAGGAGCGAAAGACCUAGCUAGCUAGCUAGGUGACAAAUACAAGGGAGUAAAGAGAAGUUGGAGAAGGAAAAGGCAUUGAGAGACGAAGCAGGUGAAAUGUUGCUAUUGGAAGAGCUACCUGCCUGCUUGCGUGCCUGCUACCGGCUUCAGCUUCUACCUCAACCCUUACCAACUGAUUUCGUCGGUUAAUCGUUACGUUUUUGCCUCCAUCUCCAGUUCUCCUCCUUCCUUGCGUGUAACUCGGAAAGUAAAAACGAUGAAUAGAUUAAAGAAGAAAAGCUUUUUUACGGGAGAAGAGCUAAUAAAGAUGUGGGAGGUGGAUUCAAUUUUGAAAUCAUGGAAUGGUGCCAGCCAAGGUGGGAGACCGAGAAGGAGCUAACGGUUGUUGCAAACAAGAAGAUGGAUCAUUUGUAAAUCCUAGAGAUUCAAAUAAGCAGAUGGUCAAGCCCGGAGAACACGCUUGGGCCCUUAUUCACGAGUCCUUUCGAGUAUGCGGCAGACUGGACCACGAGAAUAAUAGGAAACAAGAUCUUCAAACUAUACCAUUGCAUUGUGGCCCCUGUAAGCUGAAGACUAUAUGCAAGAUCUCAAUCAUUCUCAAUGACAUCCCUGGCGAAUCGAAGUGAAAAUCCAGCCAUGACGGUGCUUGAUGCAUUUCUGUCUACCAAGGUUCCCACCCCCAUGGCACACAAUAAAUUAUGGACUCGCAGGACAAAUCUCUCAUCUUUCAUUCUCUUUUCCUUUGCUGGCAUGCAUCCUGUUCUUGGAUUCACGUUCGUUAGGGACUUCCUAAGUUGGUCUAACACCCUACAAUCUCCUAACAUCCCAAUUUCACCCUUAGAGAAAGCUCGCAAUGAAAACAUGCAUAGAGGAAUCUCCCCGACAGUUUUGACUACUCCCACCCUCAUUGCUAAUGGCAUUAGUGAUUAGAAGGCGAGUAAGCUUCAUCCACCCUAUCGCCCACAACCAUGGCAUCCCCAUAUGUGCGAUCGUUUCCCGCCAAAGGCUAUCCAUCAGGUUAUCCACUGCGACGGCUCAUUCUCAAGUGAGACACAAAAGGCGGCAUUUCGCAUCGUGGUUUCCAAUGCAAAUGUACAAGUGACCGAAAGGAGGGCCGAUCAGGUUGUCUAUCGCCAUACAUACUAGGUAUGUUAUUUGUAAUCGCAAGCUUGGCAUAAUGAGAAGAGAAAAAUAGUAUCUUUAAUACCAACAAUUUCUACCAUCUACCAUAUUUUUACGCUACCUACAGAACUAAUCUUUUCUUGAUGAUUUACACUACCAGCUAGCUAGUCAGCACACAUACUAAAACAUUAUAUACACGUAUGUGCUUGUGCAUAAUAUGCUGCCGCACCUCUGCACGUGCCGAUACCAAAAACGCCAUUCAGGCAACCACAAUACUGUCAUCAACUUAACAUCUCUGCACAAAACAGCCCCCCGAUUUCAAUUCGAUCCAUUUUAUCCUCCAUAUAUAUAUAUAUAUAUACCGUGUAGCUGUCCCCCCACUUUGGUCUUCACCAAAAGCUGACGAAACCAUUUUCCUCUUCUCAUCCUGCAAAUUCAGACAAACCACAGACACAGCAGAUUAGAGAACAUUAUGUUCAUCUAAUCACUCACAAAACAGAACACAUGACCAAGAACACAAGCUGAAGUCUGAUCUUUUGAUCAGAUUUGACAACCACGUGCCACUGAACUGCAAGCUAUCCUAAAAUAACAUAGAAGAAUAAUGGCAAUAUAUGAUUAGAACCUGCAAAGCUAGUAUCCUAUCCUCCACAGUGUCUGCAAUGGUGAGCCGGGUUACAGUAACUGGCCGAGUCUGUCCGAUUCUAUGUGCUCUGUCAACUGCCUGAUCUUCUGUGCUUGGAUUCCACCAAAGAUCCAGAAGGAUAACGUGACAUGCAGCAACCAUAUUCAAACCAAGAUUUCCUGCCUUGAGUGACAUCAGCAUUACCGUUACCUGAAACAAAUAUCAUAAACUCAGUGGCCACAGCAGACUAACUGAAUUCUCAAGUGGGAUUUUCUAAAAUGACAAAAGAACUAACCUCGGGAUUUGUAUUGAAAUCUUUGACAGCCUUGUCUCUCACAUUUAAACUCAUUGUGCCAUCAAGUCUCCUAUACGCUAGGCCAGUCUCUUUCAGCGAGCGCUCAACCAAGUCCAACAUGCCAGUCCAUUGUGAAAAAAUUAUCGAUUUUAUAGGUCCCUUAGGAACAGAGCUCACAACUGUGCAAUCUACGUCAUCAGGUUCACUCAUGUCACUAUGUGAGAAAAGAAUCUCAAGAAUAGCUCUGAUUUUUGAAGAGCUAUACUCACUCUCCAUUAUCUCAUCAAAGUUGGAUCGAGAACGACCUGCAUCACCAUUGUUAGACAUGCAACUUCUCAACGUAGCUUCCGAGAAGACAAUAUCAGCACCAAGCUGUUCUUUGCAAUCAGCACCAGGGCAGGUGUUAUCAUCCCCUGCCAAGUAAUUUGACACACACUGAUAACAGAAAACAUGACCACACAUUGUAACAACAGGGUCCUCGGGCAGAUCCUGCAGAAUGAACAUUACUUUAGAUAAUAGCAUGGAAUUUCACUAGUUUGCACCCAUCCAAAAAGUGGACAUGUGAAGGACUCGGGAUGAACUCAUCAAAAAAAAAUCCAUGAAAACGAACUACAUCAGUGAUCAGAAAACAAUGACAUUGAACAAAUGCUGAGCAGUGAAUUGAGGAAUGGCACCUCAGGCUCAACUGAAGAGAUGAGGCAAAAAAGCUUAGGAAAUACUUACAUUGCAUACACGGCAAAUAGUCAGAGAAGUAGUCAGUCUACUUAAGAGAUCCAUCACCAUUUCCUUUGGAAGUUUAUUUGCCAUAUCCACUGAUACUUUUUGUACAGAGUCGGAAUUGAAACCUUUGACAAGAAGUGGGUGGUCACAAGCCUGCCGAAGGCGCAAAAGCAUCAAAAGAAUAUUUGCAUAGUUUUGAUUUACAGUGCCAGCAGCAGCAUAAGCCUACAAAAAAGACCAGAUAACGUAACAAUUAAUUACAAACUUACUGUAAGAUCACCAAAAUUCAAGAAAGAAUCCCCUCGCUGGUAUUGUCUAUUAAAAUAUUAUACCGUUUUUACUUUUUAGACAGGUACUCAACUGCUCAGCCAAGUAAACAGCAAAAGGAAGAAAACCGGCCUCAUAAUUAAUUCAAAAUAUUACUUAAAAAAAAAGAAUCUUUAGGAUUCAGGAAUGAAGAAAUAUAGAAAUUCGAGUAGAAAAAAGAAAACAGAGAGUGACAAAUAACAUUUGAAUCAAGGGGGGAGAGCAAAGAAUGGGUUAGGUCUCGAUUGCUUUCAUGCAUAAAUCUAACUUGUCUAAUAUUAGUUCAGUGUCAUGUUCUAGGUCUAACAUAAGUAGAACCAACUUUCUAAUUGAUGCCCUCCUACGAAGAGAAGGGCAACUAAGGUAGAAAGAACCUUGAACUUAGAACGCGAAUCAGCUUCUAGCUGGGUGUAGAAAGCCCGCUCCUCGAUCGAGAACUCCACCUUCCUCAAACAUAUUGAUUUCGAAGGCAAUCUGAUUAUAGGCUCCCCAUUUAUCAAUGUCCCUACAGCAAAAGACCUGGUCAGCUCCAACUUUUAGUUGCAAAGCAGUGCAGCUUAUGUUAAGUAAGAGACAGCAAGACAUCAAGCAUAUGACCUUUACUUCAUCAAAAACAACUGAAAUACGAUGGACACUGGCAAAAUUGAGGGGCAAUAAAAAAAUAAAAGACAGGCAUUCGUUCAAAUGUUUGUCAUGUACUAUUGUCCAUGACAUUUUGUUGAUCUAGUUCUAUUACAAAUUUAUCAUACUUCUAAGUAUAUAAAAGAUCAUCUUAAAAGACCAAACAUCAUAACCAAUACAGAUCAGAGGCUCUAUUCAGCAAAAUUCAUGUUAAUGUAACAUGUCGAAUUCUUGAAGGGGCACUGCAUAGGGAUUGCCCAAGGAAAUCAGAUAUGCAUAAAAUGCAUGAGCAAAAACAUCACAUUAACAAUGAUGAUGUGUAUCCAAGCAAAAGUAUAAAACAUUUCAGUUGUGUUUAUGCAGCAAGACGGGCAGGAAUAGGAUGCUCCUAAAGCCCUUUUCAAGCAGUGUUGACACCAGUAUCACACUACAAUUGCAAAAUAUAGAAGAGGAUGAGAAUAAAGAAUGAGUUAUAACUGUCUCAUUUUUCGUUGGAUAAAAUAGCCAUCAGAUCCCCAUAGGUUCUACGACAGUCCUUGCCAAUUAAAAUGACUCAAGCUUUUAACAAGUGCCCCCGGAUUUGGUAUGAUUAAUUGCAGGGCUAUGAAUUUCCAAUGUAAACUCUGAUAAUUAUCAACAUUAUAUGUUCAGCAAUUCAUUAAGAAAGUAUUAGUGCAAGUAAUAGGGGUAAAAACAGAAUCCAACCCAAUAUAGAACUCCCAGUUUAGGCAGCAUGGAUCACGACAAUCAUGAAAUGUACUAAAAACUAAAGAAGAAGAUGUAUAACAAUCACCAUAACAGUAGCAAAUCAAAAGAAAAACCUUUAGUACGGCGCAGCAUUACUGCGGCUAAAACUGCUCUCAGCUUCUUGUAGCCAUGAAGUGAAUUUCUAGAUAUUGGGAGCUUUAUGGCACUGCAAAAUGAUUUGUACCCCGAGUACGGUUCAUAUCUGAGAAAUCUGAAAUAGCUGUACAAAUCAUCAAUAGAAUUCUGUAUAGGCGUUCCAGAUAGGCACCAUCUCCUUUUAGCACGAAGGCUACAGCAAGCCCUGGCCACUUGGGUUCGAUGAUUUUUUAUUGUUUGAGCUUCAUCUAGAAUCACCCUACACCAACCCACCCUUGCAAGUGGACUGCAAUCAUAAUCAAGAGAAGAGAAAUCUGAUCCCUUUGUGCCCAUCUUCCUCUUCUUGCUGGUACCAAGCAGUUUUUUCCCCUUCUUAUCAACUGAAAAUGCAGAAGACAGACCACUUUUUUCUGCAGUUUUGUCAUCAAGUUCAUCAUCAUCAACCAAAGGUUGCUUGGGAAGUUCAUUAGUAACUAUGGCGUAUGUCGUCAUAACGACAUCAAACUUUGCCAAUUCAACAGGAUCUUUUGUUCUAGUACCUCCGUGGUAUAUCAAGACGGACAGUUUAGACUUUUCCGCAACUUUAUCAUCCAACUCCCUAGCCCACUGGCGGAGAACACUUGCUGGGCACACAACCAAUGUACCAGCAGCAGGUCUCCUUCUAAUCAGUGCCUGUGAAGUAUUUACUUGUUCAGUUAUUACGGUAUCCUUAAUUUCAGCUGACUGUUUCAUUUUAUCUGAGGCAACAGUGCUGCAAUCAUCAUCGUCAUCCAAAUUCAGUGCUUCAGUAUUUCGUGCAUUUUGAUCUUCUGACUUAGAUUUCAACUCCAAAUACUUCUGCAUCUGUACAAGGGCAAUCAUUGAUAUGGUUUUCCCAAGACCCUGAGAAAUUAAAGCAGGACAAAUUCAAGCGGUUUGUGCAAGAUAAAUCAUAAUAAUGCACGAGUAAAGCAUAAGUAAAAUUGUUAAACAUUCAGGAGAACAACCUGAUCAUCAGCUAAAAUUCCACCUAAACAGUGUAAGCUUCUCGUCUCCUUCUGAAGCAUCCACGCCAAUGCAAUUUUCUGUCAAAACAGAUUAUAUAAGAAACUCAACGCAAACAUUGAAGAGCACUUUAGUAAUGUCAAAAGGUGGAACCUGGUGUUUCAGAAGUGGCACAGAUAAUAAACCUUCAGGUAAGUUGGCUUCCAUCUUUGGUUGAUUAAUACCCUGAGGGAAAAAAAUGGGCUCAUCUAAUUAGAAUUCUGUGUAGUCAUGCAGAACUUGAGGUAUUUUUCAUUCCUCAGAGAUGGUUUAGGGUAGAGUACAGCAAACCACUUUUACCAUUUGACUUAUGCUGACAAGCAAUUAGAAAGGAUUAAAAAAUGUUUUCCCAUGACAUUUAACUGUGUAUUUCAGUAUUACAAGAGUCAAAUGCGAAUAAUAACAUGUAACUCAAUCUUUCUCUGCUGCAUGAAGUCCAUACACUAUUUCUAUGCGCCAGCUUGGACAAACGCAGAACUCAGUUAAAGAGAGCUAUCUCGUUAUCUCAACAAGAGAUAGAUCAAACUCUAGUGAAAUGCUCUAUAUCAGUAAAUUCCUUCCUAUUUUCCACAAUCUGAAUUCUCUAAGCUGACUAAUUGUGAUUGCAAGACAGUGUAGCAAUGACCUUUCUAGCACGUGUUAGCAUGGGUAUCAAGAAAUAGAUAAAAAAGAUAAAGAAACGCAGAGUAUCAACCCCAUCAUGAUAACUUGAUAUAUGACGACAGUUCCCUAUGAAAUGACAUCACAACAGCUACAUGGAAGGAAUACCUGUAGUGCUGCUUGAUAGAUUAACCUCUCAUCACAUUCAGCAGUUCUUUCAUCACCUACCAUGGAAGCGUAUCCAUGGUCACUUGAACCAGCCAAAUGUGCAGGCAAGGUAGACUUAACAUGCGUCCAUGACUGAGGAAGAGCCCUGCCGACAUUUUUAUCAUAUAUCAUAACGUCUUCAUUACCAACAUGGCUGUAGCGGCCGUGAGGGUAGUCCUGGCUACUGCCUGCUAUUGAGGGAUUGUAGCCAUUGCGAUGAACACCAUGUGUCUGGCUGCUAGCUGCAUUAUCAGCUAACCUGUUCAUUUUGUAACUUGGCGCAGCUCCAUCUAGAGACAUUGGAAGGGUCCGCUUCAAAGCUUGCUCGCCACUAGAAACAUUAGCAAUCCUAGAGUUACCAGCUCUCAGGUUACCAGGUUUACCAUUUUGUCUGACGGCCCCUGAAAGUUCAAAUAAUUCUCAAAUAAGGAUUCAAAGAUCACCAACCAGGUGAGAGAUUCGCCGUCUUUGCCUCGAUGAAUCAAUAAAUAAAAGCAAUUAUGUGUAAGCGUCAAUGAAAGAAGAGCAAAGCGAUAAGGGUAAUAAAAAGGACAAGUGAAAGCAUAUAUAAUCUGGCCUUAGAGAUUCACUACCGUCCAAGUCAUCGUCAUCAUCAUCCAGCCCCAGAUCACUAUCAGAACUGAUAUCUAUAGGCUGCUUUGCUGCCAUUGCAAUCAGACAGGGAAUGCCCCUUGCUUCAACCAGAUCACGAUUUCUUACCUCAGAGAGGUUAUUAAGAGGAUGGCCAAGAGGUGAAAGUCCCUGCAAUUGAAAAAUGAUAAAGAAAUCUUCAUGCAAACCAGAAACUCAAAAAGGAACUACUUAGCAUACUCAUGUACACGUGACUUGCUAAAUGGUGCUAGUAUUUCAUGGAAAUAUGCUAGAGAUCCUAUCUAUUAGAAUGGAACAACAACUGGAGGCAACAAAAUGGUGACACUGGCUAAGAGGAACCAAAGUGUUAACCGACGCCGCAUCAAAAGAGUACUCAUACAGAAAGUAACACAUUUAACUUGAAUCUCCAAGUAGAAUUCUACUCCAAAAUAAAAAUAAUAAAAAUCAACCAAAUCUUAGACAUUCAUAAUUCAGAUACUUCGAGGAAGAAGGAAAUGGGAUCCGUUAAAUAUUUGUAAGACAAAGAUGAGCAAGUGGCUUAAUUGGUAUCUGAUUAUCCAAACCCUAAAUAUAGUAAGCCGGACACAUCAAGAAAGAAAAGGAUACUCAAACAUGCAAGACACUAGGGAAAGACGGCAAUACGAGAAACCUAAAACCCAAUGACAGAGGAGGCACUAAGAACAGAAGGGAAAAAACGAGAGAGAGAACGGCGAAUAAACCUUCAGUUAGGAAAAUAUACCAUGAAAAGAGAACUAAUCAGCAGAAAACACUGAGGCAGGCGGAGCAAAGGACAGCAUUUUCACAGGAAUUCCACAAUCAAGGAGAAAUAGCAGAAAAGUGACAGAAACGAUGACGAAGAAAUGAACCCUCCCAGCGAUGGCAUUCAUCUGUUUGAAGUUGAAGCGAGAAAGGAAAGCCAAUGAAAACAGUACCUAACGGCCUUCAUAUAAAUUCCCAGGUCAGAAGUCAGAACUUGCAACUGCUGAUGUGGUGCACUUGGAAAGAAGUUAGGGUUUCAAAAGUUUUAAGUGAAACAGCGAGCAACACAUACACUUGCGUGUGAUUUUUUUUUCCACAGCGAUCGUCUCUACCAGGAACGAGAAUGAGACUCUGCAACGCGAGAAACGACUAGCGAUUUACAGCGAUGGAAACGACUAGCGAUUUACAGCGACGGAAACGACAUAGUUAUCGCCUGGUGCGAAUACUUUACACUUCACACUAUUGCCAGCUCGGCCAUGCCAUAGCAACCCGUUCGAUAGGCUUUGCAAUCCCGAUUAUUUAACCUCUUAAUAGAUUAUAAUCUCAUCGAAUUUGACGGUUAUUAAUCGUAUUAAUUAGAUAUUUUGAGAUUACGGUUAUAAUCGUUAGGAACGGAUAAGGUUAGAUUAUGAGUUUUGUAGUAACCGCACCAUCACCGUAACGAUACACAUUAUAUAAUCAACAUUUAAGUCCACUAGAUAACCUAAAUGUACAUAAAAUUUAUCGAGAAAACUAAAUCUAAUCCAUUUACUCAUUCAUUCAUACAAAAUAUCUCAUUUGUCCGUCUUUCGAAAUCGACAAUAUCUCUUCAUCUCCUCAUUUUCUAUAAAACUUAAUCAUUAUUUUUCGAUUGAAAAUAUCUCAUCCACCACUUUAGAGAUGAAUUAAAGUAGAUGCAUUUUGAUUUUACUUUAUUUUUAUUUUUUCAUAACUUAGAGUAGUUAUAACCGUUAACCGCAUGGGUAUGAUGAUGGAAUUAAUUUUGUCACCGACACAAAAGCGGAUGGAUAAUGUUUAUGCCAUAACCAUCCCCAAACCUCCCCGUUGCCAAGCCUACCGUUUGAGGUAUUUGAGUGAGGUAUUUUGGCCGAAAUAACUCAUUUUGUGUUAUUUCGACGAAAAUACUUCGUUUGGCAUCAAACAAACAAUCCGUGGUAUUCCAGACUAUGGUAUUUCAAAUAACUCACUUUCGAAUUAUUUCAAAUAUCUCAUCAAAAUGACUCGUUUGGCAACCAAAACAAAAUACGUGAUAUUUCGAGAUGUGGUAUUUGAAAUUACUUAUUUUUGAGUUAUUUAACGAGUUAUUCAAAUACCUCCCCACCACCCACCUAAGUUUUUGAAAUACCUCACUAUUUUGAGAAUGUGAUAUUUCCGUUACCAAAUACCUCAUUGAAUAACUCAUUAGCCAAACAAGAUAAUUCUCACACCACAAUUCCUUUGCACCUUAUACAUACUACAUUUUCAAAUAACAUAUAAUUUUAUUCCAAAAUACUACAUAUCCAAAAUAUUUCAUCCAAACUUCCCGAAUUAUUAUCCACAUGAAUCGCGGUCAUCAUUUUUUGUGUAAGUAUAAUGUUUAUCAUCGACAAUAAUAACCAAUCCUUUCAAUACGAAUGCUCAUAUAAAACGAUAAACAACCGACAAAAAAUAUAUUUUAUUCCCAUGGACAAACAUCAAAUUUCUAACCUCAUGUAUAAAAUGAGACACCACAAUGUUACAAUCCUGUGGUCAUCAUCAUGCUAGGUAAUGUAACAUAUUUUGAUUUGGGCUUCAAUUUUGGGCCUUUCACAUUUGAUCACAAUGAAAAAUUGGGCCUCGCACUUUGCUUUCCCUCCUAAAAGCAGCAGGAGUUGGCGCGCAGCGGAAAGCGCCAAGACUGCAAAAAUUACAAAAAUUGAAAGCUUUUCAAUCUCCCUCAUUUCCUGGUUUGCCUACCGCCAAAAUGAAAUUAAUCAAAUUAAAACAGCAACAAGGCUUCCUUUUAACUCACCCGCAGGAGUUUUCUCUCAAAGGAAUUUGAAGUCGGGGCUUUAAUCUCUCUCUCUCUCUCUCUCUCUCUCUCUCUCUCUCUCUCUCUCUCUCUCUCUCUCUCUCUCUCUCUCUCUCUCUCUCUCUCUCUCUCUCUCUCUCUCUCUCUCUCUCUCUCUCUCUCUCUCUCUCUCUCUCUCUCUCUCUCUCUCUCUCUCUCUCUCUCUCUCUCUCUCUCUCUCUCUCUCUCUCUCUCUCUCUCUCUCUCUCUCUCUCUCUCUCUCUCUCUCUCUCUCUCUCUCUCUCUCUUAGUAAGCUUGCUUUUCCCUAGCUCUCUUCUCCGUCGAUCUAGGUCAAGAUGGCUGGAGGUGGUGCCAGGAAGGCCAACCCAACAAAGGCGAGAAAGAGAGUGGAGGCGGAAAGUAGUGCUUCUGCUGCUUCCUUGGUUCGUGCCAGAGACGGAAGCGCAUUUGCUCGCUGGUAAUACAUUUUUCUCUCGGUUCCCUUUUUCUUCUCUUGGUUGUCUCGCUAUUUUGUUGAUGGACUGACUACCGCAUAUAUGGUGUUCGUGGAAAUUCCUCAGCGAAGAGUGCAACAAGGACGUGCCAGCGGCUCUAAUCAGUUUCCACAACUGCAGCCUCGACGCCAAAAUCAAGAUGAACCUCGGUCAGUUUCCCAGUUCUGCAAAUGCAUUUUAAUUAUCUUUCUCGUUUUGGCUAGAAUUUACAUAAUCAGUGUGAUGUGUUGGUUGUUUUAGAGGCUCAAGUCGUGGAGAACCCCACUGAGGUUAAGAAGACUAAGAAGAAAGCAUCUGAAAAGUAAUUUUGUUUUCCUGUUUUUUCCCCUUGCCGUGGUGAUUUGAGUUUUUGUACCGUCUUUUAAGGUUUUUGAACUUUGAAUCCAUGGACAGAAACAGUGAAGAAUCGGGAGAACCGAAGCCAAAAAGAUCCAAGAAAGAGAAGGAGGCUGCCAAAGAUCCGAAUAAGCCCAAACGCCCUCCCACCGCCUUCUUUAUCUUCAUGUCAGUGUUUGUAUUCCAUUUGUGUCCCUUCCUGUUCUAUCCUAGGCAGAACCAAGUUAAUAGUAUACUCGUGCUCAACAGGGCUGACUUUAGGAAAGAAUACAAGGAGGCAAAUCCCGACUGUAAGGAGGCUAAGAAGGUUGACUGCAAACCAUACGAUUUCGUUUCUAUAUGGGUUGUAGAUUCCAUUCUUUCUAAUGCAAAUUUUGUUGGUCUCUCAUUAUUUAGGUAGCCAAGGAUGCUGGUGAGAAAUGGUCAUCCAUGACUGAAGACGUGAGUUAAAUUUUACUGUCAUCUCCAGGAUUAUAUAAUUUCUGAUUAGUAUACGCAUGCAACACUCAUCAUGUUCUUCUAAUCUAAACUUGUUGUAGGAGAAGAAACCGUACAUAGAAAGGGCUGCUCAACUCAAGGCUGAUUUUGCGAAGGGUUCUGGUAGCAGCGAUGGUGAAAACAAAGAAACUAAUAUUGGGGAUGACAAUGUAAGGAUUCUUUCACUCUUAUCCUUUUCUAUCACAAAUACGCACAAAAUGGCAGCAACGUUAUUUGAAAGUGUUUGUCGAGAAUAUGUAUUGACAAAAUGCUGUUUCUAAUUAUCCAGAAUGCUGAUGAAUCAAACAAGGAAGAAGCUGAUGAAUCAGACAAGGAGGAUGCUGACGAAUCAAAUAAGGAGGAUGCUGAUGAGUCCAACAAAGAAGAUGUUGAGGAUUCAAAGAAGGAAGAUCCCGAGGCUGAAUCAGAAGACGCAUCCGGUCUGGAGUAGCAUGUUUCUUGUGAAAUGCUUAGCACUGCCAUUGUAUAUGAUAUCUAGUUCUCUAAGCUUGUGUCGUUAGAGUAAGGUGGUUGGUUCAUGGAUCCUUUUGCGGUUGUUGACACUGCUUCAGUAAGUAGAUUUUGCGAUCAUCACUAGUUUCCUUUUGUAGUAAGUUUCCACCAGAACCAGUUGAAUGAUAUUUUCUAACCUUGAUUUUGCGUAUGAACAAUCAUGGGAUGAAGUGACUUGUCUAGUUAGUAUGACGUGCAGCAAUUAAACGGAAAAUGAUAGAUUAACUGAUUGAACUCAAUAUGGGUACCUGCUCUCUUGUCUGGUAAAGCUUACUGUUUGUUAAAGACUGGUAGUCGCAGUCUUACACAGGAAAAAAAUAACAUACUGCAGAAACGGUGAACUAAAGGUUGUUCUUUUUUUCUGAUUGUCUAACAUCUUUCAUUUCCUACUAGUAUAUAUUGCUCUCUUGAGUCAGCAUGAUGGCUGGCUAAAAAAAAUAUCACUUCUUGGGCGGACAGGUCGGCAAGGGUUUACCACAGAGGCAUAGAUUGUGAGCAUAAGCACUUGCAGGGAAGGUGUUGUAAGGCCUUCCUUGAGGGAUCUCUCCACACAGUCUAUUCCCCCUGAAGUUUGCAUGCCUCACACUCUUCACAUUCAGCAAGCUACUUGGGAUUCCACCCGUCAGCAAAUUCCCCGAGAUGUCAAGCCAUUCCAGUUUUGACAGCAUCCCGAUGCUCAAAGGAAUCGAUCCCGUUACACGGUUCCUCCCUAUAUCCAGCCUCGCCAGCUGUUGCAGCUUCGAGAUCGAGACCGGUAUCCCUCCUGCAAUCUGGUUGCUUGCAGCGUUGAGGAUCUUCAGGAACCUGCUGUUUAGUACAGCGGAAAGAGAGCCAGUGAUGUGGUUGGAUUGCAGGUGAAGAGAAGAGACCAUCUGCGGCAAUCUCAACUCCGAGAGGUCGAACCUGAGCUGGUUUCGCGACAGGUUUAUGUUCUCCAAGGUGGAUGCAUUGGCGAGAAAGCCGGGGGAGAUGCUGUCGAAGAAGUUGUCGGAUAGGUCUAAGGAAGUGAGAGAUUCUGGUCUGGUGAAUACUGGAAGCCGUCCCCUGAGUUUGCAUCCAGCUAGGCGGACAUCUGUAAGCUGUCUAUUUCUGAUCCAGUCUGGUACGGUCACCAUACUAAAGUUGUUAUAUGACAGGUCAACUGACAACAACAAAGGAAGCCCUGUAAUGGCAGGGAAUGGUCCAGAGAAGGCAUUUCUGGAAAUGUUAAGAUACCAUAGCUUCUGCAAGCUGGAAAUCGAAAGCGGGAUGGGACCAGUGAGUCGGUUGGAGCUCAACGAGAGACGAGCUAGCGAUUUAAGGCCUGUGAAGCUGACGGGGAGGCUUCCAGAGAGCUGGUUAUGGUCCAAGGAGAUGUCUUGGAGAAGGGAUGAUGAAGUAGUAAACAGAGAAGUGGGGAGCUGGUCGGAAAAGAGGUUAUAAGAGAGGUCAAGUGAAGUGAGGUUUGGGAAUGCGGAUGGGAGGUUGUUCGGAAUGGAUCCGGAAAUGAAAUUGUGGCUAAGAUCCAAAGACUGCAAGGGAAGAUGUGUUGUUGCUGGGACAUUGAUAAUACGGCCGGUGAAAGAAUUCCUGGCUAAACCGAGAAGCUGGAGUUUGGGGAGUGUGAAAAUGGGGAGAGGGAUGGGGCCCAGCAAGCGGUUACCAGCGAGGGAGAGGGACGUCAGACGGGAGAGACGGCUUAGAGAUGGAGGGAUGGAGCCUUGGAGGGAAGCAUCUUCGAUCACCAGAUUAGCGAGGCGAGGGAGGUCGGAGAUGGAUUGAGGGAUAAAGCCUGAAAUGUGUUUCAUACCAGUGAUGACCAGAGUCUCCAGAGAGGUGAGCUUGCCGAGUGAUGGCGAGAGAGUGCCUUUCAUGUAGGAAGUGACGUCGUCGGGCGGGGCUUGGAGAAUUAAAGAAGUGACCUUUCCGGUUGAUGGGUCGCAUUGGACGCCUUCCCAAUCGGAGAGGGUGGUGCCAACCCAGGAGGAGAGUGUGCCAGUUGUGUCCUGGAGAAUUGCUGCUUUGAACUGGAGAAGUGCCAGCCUGUGGGAUGAAGGUUGUUGAGCAGUGGGAUUGUUGUUGAGGAAGAAGAGGUAGAGGAUGAGGAAUGGCAAGAAGAGCUUCAUAUUUGAAAUAAUUGAGGGAGGGAGGGAGAAGUGGAUUCAAAUAAAUAAUGAAUGGGAUUUGAUGGAGAAAAAGGGUGUUUUGCUUUUACGCUACUCUUGGUGGGAUUGAAGGAGGUAGAUGAGGGAGGAGGAGGUUGGAGCGGACCGCACUUUCUCUCUUUCCAAUAAAUAAAGAUCAACGCCAAAUGCUACUGCCUGGUUCUUGCCUGUAAUAGUAAUAGUAACCAACCCACAACGAUACAUAGAGUUUGGUAGUGCAGAGAACUAAUAGAAUCCACACUCAACCAGUAGACAGUAGUAAUCAGUAUCCUGAACAAGUUGUAUCAAGUAGCAACUCUGAGUGUAGCAUAAUCUGCCCUUUCCUUCUUUCCUGCAUAUAACGGUUAGUAACAAAAAGUGGUUCUCUUUUCAACCCAAAAGUGCAACCCUGUAAGUCCAGAAGUUCUCCUUUCCUGCAUUCAUACGUCAGUAGUACCAAAAGAAAGACAUAUGCCUCAGUUCAGAACAGAUUGGUGCACUAACUUAAUUAUGAUGGAACUGAUCCUUGACAGGAAAAAAACUAAGGUAACCAGGCAGACUGCGCGCAUUGUACGUUUCUAUUCCUUUUCAGCUAUGACCACAAACACAUCCUUCACCGACCACCUCCUCCUCUCGCUCUUUGCUGUUGGAUUCAUAACAGCUCUUUCAGCAUUACAUAAACGGUAACCAAUCACGAUUUCUUUCCUCUGCCUAGCUCUCAACACUAUCUCAUAGAAGCUCAGUUCUUCUCCUUCCCUCAGGUAUAGAUCUGCUUCUCUUAUCUGCAGCUCAUUUCCCUGUCCACAACCCAAACUCCCAUCACAACCCUAACCUGUUUAUUAGUUAUUAUCACUACUGAAAAUAUUUUAAUAUUAGUACCUCCUCUGCAAACAGCUCUUCUAGUACGAAAUUGAUCUGCCGAUCCUCAGCAACCAUUGCCAGUGCCAUGCUCACUAGUUCAUUUGACAGCACGUAGUCGCUGAUCUUCGACAUGGAUAAUAGGUUCUUAGUCCUGGGGUCCAGAAUUUCACUGAUUAUCACUGAUUUAUCAGAAGCCUGUUGCAUCUCCCCUAUCCAGGAUCCUUGUGAGAAGCUCCCUCUCUCAACUGGGGUGAACAUAGCUUCUCUGUACGGGAGACGCUUUGCCUGCAAGAAUAGGACAAUAAGUGACCCCCAAUGAAUUACCAUCAUCCUUAUAGUUUUGGUUAAUCAAGAUAUCAACAUACCUGAAUAUCUCGAAUUAACAGUAAUGUGGCGAGAGAUCUAGAAUCAGCUUGAAUUGCUGAAUCUUCAACUGACUCAUCAGCCAAAAUUAGAAUCUGUCUUACCACAGAAGACAGCAGGAUUUUGUCAACUUAGAACACAAGAUCGAAUAUGAACAAAAUUGAGGACUAGAGACAAAUACUGACGACUGAAAAGGCCAUUCACUUAGCAGCUCAUUUAUAGGCUAUGCCACUCACCGAAUCGAAAGAUUCAAGGGGAAGGCUUUCCAAGUGACGCCUGAUAACUGCAUUUCCCUCUCUGUUAACCAAACAUAUAUUGACCAGCCUACUGAUGUCAAGACCACCAUCAAUAAGCUUCUUUUCCCUGUCAUUCUCAGCAACAUCAUUGAACAUCCAGAGCUCAGAACCAGGUGCAAGAAAAGCAUCCAACACCUACAUAAGCAUUGUUAAUAUAUUUCUACCCAUAAAAAGAAGAGUCUUGGAAUGAAACAUAUCCCACUUUUCAUCAAACACCACAACCUGGCACUAUAACAUAUUACAAGUAAAAGUGGGACUUCAGUAAUAAACAGCACGAGAAAUUCGGAGACAUCUGCCACCACUUUCUUGCACCAAGAGGUUCAUCAGAUUGACUUUCUGUAGCUUUACCAUGAUAAUAUCUUCCAUAUCUCUUCUCCAACCACACAGCAGUAUCCUUUCUGCAGACUUUGGCACAUUGAAGUCUUUGGGCAGACUUCCCCUCCAUACCUGCAGGCAUUCAGGUGAAGAGAGAAAGAAUUAGGAGCUUUGAAGAAAGAACUUACCACAAUCAUAUCAUCAAUGUCCCUCCUCCAUCCACAAAGUAGAAUCUUCUGUGGCUUUCUCGUUGAUCGAUCAAAGUUUACAAAUGAUGCUUCUUUUACCUGAAUGAUGAAAUUUGCUAGGAUGUAAGUUUUCCAAUUAGUCUAACUACGUUUUAUCAAAUGUUACUUCUUCGACCGGCAUAAUGUUUUACUCACACGUUUAAUUCAUUAGCUACACCAUCCCAAAUAUGUUCUUAUGUACAGUCCACACGAACUAAAUUAGGAUGUGUAGCUCAUGUCUAUUUAGAGGAUUCCCCUAGUAAAGUUCAGACGGUUGAGGCGAGAUGGAUAAGAACAUAACCAAGAAAACCACAGCACCGGAUAGACCCUUUUCAACAAAACAAACACUUCCAUUGAUAAAUCGUUACUUCCUACAUAAUUUAAAAGGUCAAAGAUUUGCAUUUCAAUGAAGAACCUAAAUAUUAGUUAACACCUUGAAACUCAAAAGUAAUUGUGGGCAUCAUUCUUUCUUGUCAUGUAAUCAAGUGUAUUAUACUUAUUUGUAUAUUCCUCAUUACCAUGUCCUCCUCCAACCAUCUUAAACAUAAGUUUGCGAAUAACAUCAUCUCCUAACUGAUGAACUGAAAGAUGUAAUCAAUUAGUCAGAAGUGACAAAUCAAUAAUGCUUCGAUUUCUACUUUCGCUCAUUUAUUUCAUCACAUUCUUUGUAGUAGAAUUAGGUUAGACUGCAAGUUAGUUUAGUGAGUAAUGCAUGGGUUAGUACCAAGUGAAAAUCAUUAAGGCCGUGUGGUGGAGUGACAAAUCAUGAGCCUCCAAAGGAUAAACAGUACUAUAAAUGAGCUCUUAAUUUUUAAGAGGAAGAUGAAAGCACCGUGGGUAAUGCUGCUGGAGUGUAAGUAUCAUCAUCUUCUGCUAUAACAAGCACUUCGUCACCUUCUUGUAGAGUGUACGAAUCGUCAGGAUUCAAGACAAUCUUACCACCGCAAGAAGCAACCUUGACCCCACAGGGUAUAGCAUCAGGAAAGCUGAUCAAGACAUCCUCAAACUGCAAGCCAUCUAACUGUGGCCAUCUCUUGAUGUAAAACUCACAAUUUUCGAACCCAAGGAUGUCUUCCCAAAUCUGCCACGGAUCAUUGGUAACAAUGAGCAUAAACUAAUUGAAUUAGGGAACUUUAGCUCAGCAAAUCAAGUAUUAAACUUAGCAUGUCUAACAUAACAGACCAUAGUAAUGAAAGUUCAACGAUUUAACCUGUGCCAAUCCUGGCUGUCGAGCGCAUUGAAUCAUCAGCCGGCCAAUUACAUCAUGUGCAACAACCGUCUCUACAAGAUCUCCACCAACAAGUUUCACAAGGACCUCAUUGUCAAGAUCACUUAACUCCACGACAAUAUGUCCCCUUAGUCCUUCUUUAACUCCUGUUAGACUCAAGACUGUUCUCAAUGCACGAGCAUCACUCUGUAUCGGACGAUGAAUGAUCUAGUGAUUAAAAUUGUUGAAAAGGAAUACUAAAAUUCAUCUAGUUCUUUCUUGAGCAAGACCUGGUCAGCAUUUCCGUCCUCAGCAAGCACAAUUAUGGCACGGGCCUUUGAAACAGAUACCUAGGCACGUGAAAGGUGUCAGAAAACAUAGGUAUAGACUCUCACUAGUUCACGCAGAGUAGAUUUGCAGGAUCCUGUACAAUGAACUGGAAAAACCUCUGGCAAGUUUACAACACAACUAGCAUCAAGCUCUAUACGGUCACAACAGGAAGAAAUCAUACUACGAUGUGCUGCAUACAGUCCUACUAGUAUUUCACAGAAGCACAUAGUACAAUUUGCUUUAGAUAGAUUUCAGUCUGCAGCUAAUUUUCGAAUUGACCGUGAAAAUUAUGUAAGUUACAUAUGCACAACCGACCCAAAAAAUCUUAGAGUACUGCUACUUUUUCCAGAACCACUGGAUCCGAAAACUGAGUCACCAACCUUUUUGAGGUCGGCCAAAAUCAAAGGGCUCCCACUUCUGCAUAUGACAGAAGUCCCUUUGAAGUCGAACUCCAUUUUUCCAAUGUCCAAUUCCAUCUCUUCUUUGUCUCGUUCAGCCAUUACUACAACAGUCCCACCACCUAAACUGUCAUUGGCUAUUGCAAGCUGAUUCAGCAGUGAACCCUGGUUCCAGAAAACAAGUAAUGAGACAAUUGUGCGACUUAUGGAUGCAAAUAGUGCAAGAUUCUUGGAAAUCAUAUGUUGAAUGCAACUUUAAGCAAGUACACAAAUGGACAAAACAUCAGGACUGGAACAGUAAGGGCAUAGAGAAGAAACAUGCAAGCAGAUUUUCUGUGUGACAGAGCUGAGGAUAUAGAGUUUUACCAGCUUAUCACUCCAUCCAAGGAUAAGGGUGUGGUUUUGCUCAACUACUUCACUUCUUCCCUUCCUCAGUGAAUCGAACUUCUCAGAAAUGGAAUCAGAUACAAGUCCGAGCAUCAUCGCGAAGAUAAGCAUGCCUCCAAAGCUAAUCGAAACAGAAACAAGCCUUGGGCCAAUACCUUCGGAGUCAGCAUGGUUCCCGGAGUCAGCAACAUAGGUCCAUGACAACCAUAGGCAAUCAGCUAAACCAUCGUCGGUGACACCAAAGAGAGCAAAUCCUCCAAGACAGAUGAGUAGCAAUGUGGCAACGAGCAAGGCCAGCGGUUUAGCAUAUGGAUGGACUGAUAGAGAGACAUCCACCCGGUAUGCAAGCCGCUUGCUUAAAGAAACUUCUUCUGGAGCUACCUCUAAAGACCUCAACUUGGAGACGUGAUCAAUAUACUUGAAAAUGAGAAGAGGGAUAGAUAAUAUGGAAAGUGAGGCUAUAAGAGACAAAUAUUUUAAGGCAUGACCAGGGUGAAGAUCAUCAAUCGCAUUCUCCUGUGACCGGGAAUCGAUUGAAGAGUACAAAUCGCAGGCUCGUAACCUGCCGUUCAGUCUUGAAAUUUCAUCCUGUAAGCAUUGGCCCAAGACAAAAGGGAAGGCAACAUAGUCAACUAUCUGCAAAAAUCACAGCGAAAUCUGCUCGGAAGAACUGAUAAUUGAGAUCAAAAUGAAUCAAAUUGACAGGCAUCCAUCCAUCCAUCCAGUUCCACAAGAAAAACAGCAGCAGCAGCCAACUUGACUAGAAAAUAGUUACAGCUUUACCUGCAAGUCAAUGACCUGAUUACGCAAAGAGAAAUUCUUGUGCAUCAAAGAAGCCAGAAUUGUUAUCAGAAACUGCAGCAGCAACAAAAGAUAUUCCAACACAACAUAUGGUUCACUAAUCAGGAUAUGCAUAUAAAAAAAAAAGGACAGAGGGAGUGAGUAAAAACGAACCGAUGCAGAAACGGCGAAAUGCCAUCGCGUAAACCAAGUAGGCAGUUGAAGCCCAAAGUAUGUGAACCGAGCACACGGUUUCUUCCUUAGAGCGGUGGUGGUCUCGGCGUGAGUAUGAACAGCUUCUUCCUGCGGAAGUGGAGCAGAAGACGAAACGGCAAUACCGUGUUCGGGCUUAGGGGAGAGAUGGUGAGGGAAGUGAACUUGGCGGCGGCGGCGGAACCUUGGAUAAGGAGGAGCAGAAGUGGGGGAGGAGGAGGAAGAGGAUGCUCUGGGGAGUGUAGUAGAGAACCUGCGGCUGCGAGCACGAAGCGGGUAAUCUGGGUUGACGAAAGUGGAAGGAGAAGGAAAGAACCAGUCCCUGCUGCUGCUAGUAGUAGGUGGAAGUGGAGACGGCGGCGUAAUGGAGGAUGAUUCCGCAUCCAUUCGCAUUGCUGAAAUUCUUCUUCAGCAGGUGUUGGGAAUUUGGUUGACAUCUUCAUCGUCGGAGCUGAUUAAUUAAUAACAAUCAAGAGUAGAAUAGAUGAUGAUGGAUGGAUGAAUGGAUGGAUGAUUGAUGUUUAAUUAAGCUUUCGUUGACCCUGCCCGCCUACCAGUUUUUUUGUUGUUAUAUGGAGGGUGGAAGAUUCCUGCAGUGGUUAUUUGAAUUCUUGCAAGGAAAAAGACGAUGCAAUCAUGCAAAGAAUAGAAACGACAGAGAAUAUGAGAGGGGUCCGCACCGCAGGCUCAAGCUUUCCCUCAUGUUACAUUACAUACUUGCAUGGUUAGACUAGCUCCGCUUGAACAAGCAUGGUGUAUCACUAAUCGCAUCUUUUACGAAAUAUUUGAAUGGAAGUUUAUUUUUGGAGGGAGGACAAUUUUGAGCGAUUAGCCUUCAAACAUAAGCAUACCUCAAACUUAAAAUCGGUCAUUCUAAUUUCGCUAUUCUAACCUAAGCUACAUAUUUGAACCACCGACUUUUAGGGUAUGAAAUCAAAAUCAUAUGCUCUUUUCGUCAACUCCAAUAUUUCGAAUGGGUCGAGUAAUCGAUUCACUUCCUUCUUUGUCUCAAGAUCAUGUUUCACUUCCUUGAUGAUAAAACGCUUGGAAAAACCUCAUGUCUUUCCUCUGGCCGAUAAAGAGACACUUCUUAAAAGAGAGUUACGACUGUUUUUUCUAGUUACGCGCUUCCACCUUCUGGUUUCGAUUUGCAAGAAAGAACUCAACAGGAAGUAUGUAAAUUGUAAAAGAUGACUAACUUUCCAUUAAAGGAAACAGCUGCGAACUGAUUCAAGAUGAAGAAACAUUCUGCAAUAGGACUCGAAUGAGGUACAAAUCGGAGACAUGGUAAUGACAUCUAGCUUCAACUUUGAACAACAGCAUAUGUGUAUCUUUGAAAGCCUAACCUCCCAUAAUCAGAGACUGGAAGCGGGUGGAAAAAUUUCUACCCAAGUCAAUCAAAGUACCUGUACUGCUAAACACGAAACUGAGCUUCGCACUAUGCUUUCCACAAUGCGGUAUCAUCUCACCGUCCAUAUAAUGCUCGAGCAAUUUUACACACAGAAGAUGGCCCUUACAAUCAUAGGAAAUAGGGCACUCCUGUUCUUGGUCCUCUCAUCUGAUUGUUCUCCUCCGUUUCGGUGAAGAACUUUACUUCUCUCUCCUACAAAAACACAUAGUUCUUGUUAAUGACAAAGCUUUGUUGUUGUAUUUUCUCUAUGUUCUUCAUGUUGCUAGGGGUAGGGGUUUGUGUUAUUCCCAACAACACAUUGCAUUAUUCCCUAGCAACAUGUAUAACUUCGUGUUAUUCAUCAAAACCCCCCAGGGUUUUUCACCAUCAUCUUAGUUUAUCCUCUGUCCAAAUAUUGGUUGCUCUUUUGAAAUAACGCAUCGCAUACUUACUACAAUAAAAGUACUCCUUAAACGUCACUCACCAUAUUCUCAUUGAAGCUCAGGAUGGAAGCUACAUUCCCACAUCGGUAACAGUAGUUCGGUGCAGACCAGACCUGCAAAAUAGCAAGGCGCAUAGUUUAGCUGAUAUAUUCAAAACUAUGCUAAAAACAUGCACAAUAAGAUUUAGCAUCCUUACGGUUACUAAGCCCUUAUCUUGAAACAUGUACUUGAGGCCUUCUUGUACAAGUUGAUGCGCCCGACAAACCAAGUCAAGAUUGUUAAUGUGGUUAUACUGCAAAAGCAUAGUAGGGAGGAAUUCGUUAGAUUUGGUUGAGCACCCCUCUGUUAGAUUUAGAGCAGAUGAUCUGUACCUCAGAGGUAACCCUUGAUCCAAAAAGCCAACCUGCUCCUCUGGGACUAACUGCCCAUGUUUCUAUGUCUUCAGGAUCACUCCACAUAAGAUCACAAAAUGGUCCUUCAUGUGGAAUUUCACAGUUCCGUUCAAUUACUCUUAUCUGUUAAGAUGGGAAGACCAAGAUCAGAUAACAAAAAGACCCCACAAACAAAAUUCCCUAAUGAACAAUGUAUCAACUUCAGAAGAAAUGGCUCAGUUGUUCCUAAAAGUAUAACCACGAUAUCAGACAUGGUUUGCUAGAUAUUGUCUGGUGAAAUUUGGAUCAGGCACUUAGAACUUGAAGUCCUUUUUGCAUAGGUUAUUCAUUCAAAAUGCAUCACGGAGGAUUCCAAGGAGAUCCAAUACUAAAAUGUUAUUUAACAGCACACAGGAGGCAAUACCCUUAGUGUUUGCCAACACGAAAUUAUUAGAUCUGCAAAUCAAAUCUUUGUGGCAUCAAGAAGUUAAGAGUUUUUCAACUUUGACGGCCAAUACGUUGCAAAGGCCUACCUGAUCAAUAGUCCGGACAUCAGGAGAAAGACCACCAUGGACACAAAGCACCUGCAUGAUUCCCAAAGGCAUGAAUAGUUUUUGAUUUCACGUUAAGAACAUUAAAAUACCAUAAAGUAUCGCAUGUCAAAGCGUCAUUACUACUGAAAAAAGAGAAAGAGAGCAGCAUGAGAGUCUCACUGUGCCAUCUAUAAUAGCUGACAGUGUAAGGUAAUCAAAAACAUCUGUACAAUAACGCCAUGCAUUAGCAUUGCCAUACUUCCUCUGGCAUUCGUCGUAGAAACCAUAAACCUAGAGGACCAUAACCAAAAACACACAAAUUUAUCAAUUGGUUAUGGUGACAAUUGAGCACCUCACAACAAACAAAAUAACAAAUAAAGAAUAACCAAACCUGAGUUAGUUGUCUGCUCUCAUGAUUCCCUCGCAAAAGUGUUAUAUUAGCAGGGUACCUAAACAUAGGAGAACCAUGGAACUAAGUAAUACAAGAUGCUUACGGACAAACACAAACAAGAAUGACAUGAACUGACACCGCGGAAAUAUUCAGCUCCAUAGGAAGACUAGAAGAAGAAUACCUGGCUUUUAGCAAUAAAAGAAUAGUGAAAACUUCAAGGCUAUUGUAACCACGGUCCACAAAAUCCCCCUGUCAAAAGAUUCAGCAGUAUUCAGCUCCAACCAAAAUGGCAACACACAACAGUCAACUGGAAUGAAUAUGGGGGAGGGGCCGAAGGCGGGAUUAAAGUUUACCAUAAAUAUGUAAUUUGUAUCUGGAACAUGACCUCCGGUUUGGAAAAGCUUCAUUAGAUCAUGAAACUGACCAUGAAUAUCCCCACAAACAGUCACAGGACUGUUGACAGGCUGAACAUUGGAUUCCUCAAUUAGAAUGUCUUUUACCUGAGUAGUUUGCAAGGAAAAUCAUAGGGGUGUUAAUCUAACUGCUUCUAACAAUGCGAUGAACAAUAUCAAGAGCAGAAGAUGAUUUUCAACAAGUAAACACUCCAGUCUAUCUUUUGUUUCCGUUUUUAUCUUUUAGGUGGGUUUGUUUCUCCCUUGGUCAAUUUACCAUGUGAUUAAGUUAAAGAUUAACUACGAAAACAAGCAAGUACAUUGCCCAGCUAAUGAUAGGGAAUAGAAAUGAAACCAGCAUUCCCAAUCCCAGAUACCACAAAACAAGCACGGGAGACGGGCAUUUGGCAAAAACAAGAAAUGAAGUGUAAAUUCUGGAAUAACAAGUGGAUCCAAGGGCGCGAUAUCCAGUUAUUAAAAACGUGAGCAUUUUUGCAAACCAUAAGGCCAUUAAUGUGCAAAAGCAUUGAGCUACUGAUAAAGGAAAAUCGAAAUUUUCUAAGCGAACAAACACCACGAGCAGGAAAAAAGAUAAAAGUGUGAAGUGAUGAUCUAAGGAAGCAUCAGAGCGACAAUGUUGGGGCUAGGGUUUAUUUUUCCGAUAGGAAACAGAUAGCUCGGAAACAAAGGGAAACACAUUCAAUAAGAAAGAGGGCAACAAUGUGAGCCAGGAGAAGAGAAAGGGUGAAAACCCCCAGUUCUAAGACACCUGUAAAAGUAUGAUCAAGAUAAUUCAGCUAAAUAAUGAAGAAACGGAUCGUAGAACCAAAGAACCCGGAGGAUGAGUAUUAAAAAGAAGAGCGUAUGAACAGAAAGCAAGAAAUUACAUAUUCGCAUAGAAGUUGGAGCUCGUCUUCCAGGAGGUGCUGCCCUUCCUUCACCUUAGAAAUCCACUGAUCCAAAUCCAUCCUCGCGGAUAUGUUUCCCUCGCCUUCUCAAUCAAUCAAUCAAUCGGUACACGCCUGGGAUGAUUCUUUCUUUCUUUUACACCGCCCUCAGGCUUCCAACUUUCUAGGUUAAACCAGCGCCCAAACUACAAGAACGCUGAUUCUUCUUCAAAAUUUAGGAAAAGCAAAGUCGCGAGUUGACGGAGGAGAAAGAUUCUGGUUUUAUGUUUGUAUUUAUUUUUGUUGAUUUUUCCUCUUCUAAUUUCCCUCCGGCUCACGUACGUUUUGACAUAUGAUCCCUCCUCUCCUCCCAAUCCAAAACUUGCUAUAACACCAUGGCCUCAGCUUCCUUCACACUUGCACAUCCGAUCACUUGUUGGACACCAUAAGCCAACAACAAAGUUAGGUGACAUGUUGAAUUUUAUGACUGGUAGGACAAUGACACGUAGUUUGUUUGAAUGGAAAAAAAUAUCAUGUGUUUAUUAAGACUCAGAGUAAAAAAAAGGAUGUUGUUGUAUAAAAUUUUGGUGGUACGAGAUAUACACAAUUAGAUCGAGGUACAAGGUGUUAAUAAUAGAUAAAGUUGUUAAUGUUUUGUUUUUGCAUGUAUUCGGUAACUGGAUUAGUGUCCGGUUCUUGAGGUGAUUUCGACAAAAAUGAUACUUUAAGAACGAUACAUUAUUAUUCCCAUAGUAUGUAGAAUUUGUAAUGAGAAACGGUUUAUUUUUCUAAACAAAGAAGAUAAAAAUUCAAAUAAUUUGAAUUGGAGGGUAAUGUUAUAUUUUAAAAGUUAAGAAAAGAACAAAUUGAUUAUAGAUUUUUGGAAAGUUCAUAAAUAACCUCAAUCCAUGUCAGUCAUUAGAUUGAUCUUGUGGUGAUGAGUACCAUCUAACAGACUAACACCGUGCUUAAACUUUAGAAGCUUGGAAGAGCCGAUUGGUUUCACUCCAUCAGCUGCCCUAAGCUUGCAUUUCCCAACCCGCAACCUCCUCAACCGCGCUUCACCCUCCAUUUUCUCUCUGCUUCUGGCGGUAAGAGACGAAGAGAAGGUGAUCAGAGAUUGAUACAGAGAGCGCGAAGACAUACCAACUGAUGAAUCUUUAAUUUCCAUCUCUGCUCGAAAAAUCAACGCCGGGAGCAAAUACAGAAGAUCGUGGUAUCUACAUCUGCCUUCUCCAACCAACCUGAUUCUUCUCCGGCUUCCAAAGGUCAUUUGCUUACAGAUGCAGAUCAUUUUGUCAAUGCUUGCUCAAAUUGCAACUAGGCGGUGUUUCUGAUUACAAAGUAUCAAUCUCCACCAGAGUCAAAUCCCCUUUCUGCUAUUUUGUACAUCGUCGUCCCUUGAAUCUUCUGUUCCUUAGGAGGGUAUUUGACUUCGCCUCUUCACUGUUGUUUUUUUUUCCUUUUUAGUGUCGCCUCUUCACUGUUCUCUUUUCUCCAAAUUGAAACAUAGAUGAAGUUAAACUGUUAUACUUCACAAUUCUUCUGGUCAUGCCUUUUCGUCUUUACAUCCUAAAUGUUGUAUGCAAUGACGGGGAUGGAGUAUUGAGUUCAUUAGCGGUGAAAAGAUGCAGUGGAAUCCAAAAUCUCAAGAAGGGAAGUGUUAGGAGUAGUAUAUUCUGUAAUGUUACUUACAGGCUGUAGUCUGAAGGUCUAUUUUAGUUCUGAUUCUUUAAGUGGGACGGAUCUAUCGAAUUUACUUGUUAUUUUCACAUUCUCUUCUUGAUAGUAGUAAGCUGCAGCGUCUUUUAUGAAAAUAUGUCCGAUUAAAUUGUCUGUUUUGCGUUUCAGUCUGCUAACUAUGCAUGUGAAACCACUCGCCGAGAGAGAAAUUUCUCCAUUCCUAGCCAUCUUCAUGGUGACCAUGGAUGAUUAAAUGGAAGUUAAUCCAGACGGUUUGAAAAUUUUCCUAAUCUUUGCUGGUGAUUGAAAAACAAAGCAGAAAUGGCAAGGCCCAAAGUCUCCCACCGUCCAAGCAUAUGCUUCAGGGCUAUACUCCCCUCUGAUCUGGAGAUUUUAGAGCGAAUGCAUACUGAAAUAUUUCCGAUUAGGUAUAUAACUUCAACACUGUUCUACUCUUAAUUUCCCUUUGUUCAUUCUGCUUAACUUCUAUUCUUAUCAAAGUUUUCUGUCCUCCUUAGGUACGAAUCUGAGUUUUUCCAACAUGUUGUCAAUGGACAUGAUAUUGUGUCCUGGGCAGCCAUUGAUCGUGGUCGGCCCAAUGGUAAUGGUGAUGAAAUGAUAGGAUUUGUUACUGCAAGGAUUGUGUUAGCAAAAGAAAGCGAGGUGGGUCUUCUACCUCCUUGAAGCUUGAGGGUAUGUUUUGCAUUCACAUAUUGAUAGAUGUUGCAGUCUUGCAGAAAUAUUUUGGUUGCUUCUGCCCUAUUAUUUGUCUAGCAUGAAAUGCAAGAUAGGUUUACUUUGAGUUCAGCCAGCUGUAAAUGAUAAAACUUUUCGUUAUUCUGAUGUUAGGUUUCAACUAUGGUUGAACUUGUUUCGUAAUUGUGGAUAUAAGGAGUGACCAUAAGAUGUUGUGGAAGUUUAUUUAGUACCUUUGUUGGAGACCCUUGGUGAUGCUAAAUCCUGCAAUGUUUCUGUGCAUCUACUUGAAAUUAAUAGACGUUAGGAGUUUGAUAUCCCUUAAACGGGCCUAUCUAUCAAAAGAAUGCUUGUAUUCGUUUUUAAUGGAUACGGAACCCCUUCUAAGGUUUUGUUUCUAUUGUCUAAUUUUAAGUGCUUAAUUUUCUUGUUAACUUAAUCUGAUUUGCCACUCGGAGACAUGUUUUAUUCCAUGUGCCUUGCAGAUAGGAGAUUUACUUAGAUAUGACCCGUCUAGACCCGAUCAGACAUUACUCUACAUUUUGACACUUGGAGUAGUUGAUACCUACAGAAAUCUUGGUAUAGGUAAGAACUUUCUCUAUUGUAACUCAAUAUGCUCAGAAAUGAACGUCCUUGUAUUAUGAUCCGCUCGUUUGUAUUUCCAUGUGGGUGUAGGUGUCUGUGAUGAAGGCAAUUUUCUUUUUGAAAUAAUGGUUCUUGUUUUAUGAUCCACUCGUUUGUUUCUGUUGCAGCAUCUUCUCUUAUCCGUGAGGUGACCCAAUAUGCUUCAAGUAUUCGAACGUGCCGUGCAAUUUACUUGCACGUAAUAUCAUACAACAUUGCUGCAAUCCAGUUAUAUAAAAAAAUGUCAUUCAGGUGUAUACGGAGGCUGCAAGGUUUUUAUUUCAUCAACGGACAACAUUAUGAUUCUUUCUUGUUCGUUUACUACGUGAAUGGUGGUCGUUCUCCAUGCUCACCAUUGUAAGUCAAACAACCUUAUUUUAGUUAUGUGGAUGUAUAUUGUCAAAAUUAUCAUUUUCAUAUGAAGUUCCCACCUAGGGAAGGUCCAUUGUUCGCUGAAUCACUGCGUCCUUUACCACUCUUGGCGUUCCAAAAGCACGAGCAUCUCUGUGAUUUUUUUCUGUCAUAUAGUUGCAUUAAAUUCUAUGCUUUUGUAACCAUUGCAUCUUUAUUAAAUUGAAUAUCGUUGCAUAUCUCGUUCUCUUAAAUGUGUUGACAAGUUAAAAUAAUAGACUUGCAGCAGGUCCCGUGGAGUGCAAUGCAUGGACUUUUUGGGUUCCAAAUAGUUGGUAGGCAGGUGUCCUUCCAUUCUGAACUCUUUGUUGUGGAAGUCAAACCGCAGACUUUAAACACAUGCAAUUUCAUAUUUAGGUUGAUUUUUGGGUUCUUUCUUAUGUUUGUGGGAUCCUACUGCGUGAGAUGUCAGGGCACUGUAUCUUUUCUCAACUGAUGUUUUUACUUCAUGCCAUGUGAGCAUUUGUUUAGUUACUUUGCUAAAAAAAUUGGCCUUCCAUUUGCUUAAAGCCUUCAUUUUAUAUUCCCUGAGUGUCUAUAUAUAUGGUUUCAGAUACUCUGCAAUGCUUUCUAUAUGAUUGGCGGUGAUUAGGUAGGUUGUUCAUUUGUGCGUGCAUUCAUGCUGCAGAGAGUUUGUCACAUAUUUAUUGGCUUACAUGAGGAGUGGUCUGAAGUCGGUUGCAUCGAGGCUAAAGAAGAGAGAUGACCGGUUGCCGAAAUGGCCAAAAUGUAAAGACCCACAUUCACUUGCAUCGUCGCAAAGCAAGAGAAAUCUGACAGCAGAAUGUAGUGGGUAUGAAUCUGUAUGAGAAGCUUGUAUGACUAUACAUGUGUGUGUAUGCAUGAUGUACGGUAUGAUGUUUUGUUGAUCAGUAGACAAAGUGGCAAGUAUGAUAGAUGAGAGUUGAUACAAUUUAGGGUAUAGAAGCUGUUACUCAUGUAGUGAAAGAAUACUUGUGGAUGAAGAUAGAUUGCAUUGUGUUCCUUCUUACCAGUUCAUUUGCAAUUAGUCAUUGUGAAGUGAUGUAUUUGUCUUGCUGAUAUAAAAGGAUAGUGAGAGGUCCCAGUUAAUAUCUUAGCUGAAGUCUGUCUUUACUGAGAUGUACAAAUUUAUAACUUGUAAAACAGUUGUGCCUUUGUUCCUUAGGAUGAUGCCAUGGUAAGCCAUUUUCGAUUGUUAAACAUCCGUCCAUAACAAAUAAAACGCAUGGAGCGAGAGCACUUGACACAUGAACCGUGGUUGCUCAAGGCCUACCGAUAUUGCGUUGGGUGUUGGAACCCCGGAGAACCAACCAAUGUAAUUUGUGCACAUACUAAUAUCGAUCAUCCAAUAAACAAGAAUAGUUGCAACAGGUGGUAGACCAAGGUUGCUACACAUCAAUACAUCAUUUCUGUACGUACAUGGAUCGAUCGAUAAUAGUCAUCGAGUGAAGUGUUUACGGCCUCUAGGGCAAUCGAUCAGCAAGAGUACACAAGCACAUUAUUUUGAACUCUUAACUAAUCAGGCUGGUAACUAAAUUGACCGACCUGGGUAACAAAGAAACCCAGGAAAAACCACCACAAAUCACUGGCUGCUGACAGAAUAGACAAAGUACUGCCACCUAACAAUCAUCACAAUUAAAAUAAAAAUAAAAAGUAAAAAUAAUCGCCAUAGUUGAAAUAAAAUAAAAAGAAAUAAGGAAAGAACAUGAAGGGGGGAAAAAGGAAAAGAAAGUACACCUCUCAUCUCAUCUCAUAUCAAUCCCUGUCUGUACCUUCCAACUGACAAAGGAUUCAGGACCGGACUUCCAUGGCCAGAACAAGAAAGCGUCAAUGAGGCCCUACUUAUCACUCUUUCAAGCAGUAAACAGUGGCGUGGCAAUGGCGGAUUGCAGUUCAAGGCCGUACGCUGUUUCCUUGUAAGUAAAGUACCCCUACCCACCUGCUGCUGCCGGGCCGGAGUUCAUAUCCACCUACUUCAUUCCUUAGUGAUGCUAUAAAAUUAUUAAUUGCUUAUCAAAUCUCUCAAAAAUGAACUACACUUGUCUGAGAGUUUUGGCAAACACAAUUCUGAAAUCUGUUAUUGCCGUUGAUUAAACAUAUUAUCGCGUUCCUGGACGGACAUGAAGCAAAAACCAACACCCCAGGGAAAACCCUAGAUUGAACCAUUUGAAUUUGACUUCCAACAGGGCAGGAAAAAAAGAGAAUUCGACUCUGAUGCUUAAACUCUACCCUGUACUACUACUACGUACUUUCAAGAGUUAGUCAUAGCCUGUCAGAUUCUUCAAUUGAUAGUAGCUGCUAGACAUACAGACCAGUUAGGAAAACAUUACAAGGUGCAAUCUGUAUACAUGCAGCCCGAAUUAAACUCUGUUUUGAAUCAUUUUUUGUCAGCAUCUGUAUGGACGGUUAAGCUUGCAGCAGUACGUACGUAGUGUCUAUUAUUUAUGCUGUGUUCUACCAAAGCUUGCACUAGUAUCUUCCGCACAUUUUACUGACAGGCAGUCCACAUAUAUCUCAAAACAAAUAAUUGAAAACAACAUCACUAUAUAUAGAUAUACGCUGCUGCAACACAUAGAUCAUAGCAGAAGUUUGAGUGAAGAUCAAUGAGAUUUACUAAUUUGCAGAAGCUAUAUACUAAUUAGUCAGAUUGUGUCAUGUAACUGCAAUAUUGCAUACUUAACUGGUCAGGUUCCUCGUCCCUACAACACAAGUACUACAAUUAGUCAACAAUAUCGAUGAGUCAGUGAUGCCACUGGUCAGUUCCAACCAACAACUAACCACUAGAGAUCGAGCCACCAGGAACUCCAUUCCAUCCUUUUAUCCAGGUUGUAGACCAUGGUAAUGAAGCAAGCUGUAGAUGAGUUUACAAAAGAAAUAAUAAGUUUUAUAUUAGAUGACUUAACAUGUGAAAUAGGACACCAACUGUGGAUAAGCUUACCAAUGGCUCUCCGUUGAAAUGACAUGCAUGCUCGUUAACCAUACUGCAUAUGUAGAUAUAGGAAAUUGGCUGAAAGUGGUAUGCUUUUUAUUUCCAAGAGUGACAUGAUGACAUGCUUUCAGCAUUGAGUACACCAUGCUCACUGUACCAAGCCACCAACGCUUGCAAGCUGUUAGUUUCUGUUACUCAGGUACAUAUUCAUGUGUCAGUUUGUUUGUUCAGAAAAGUAGCACAUCGAUUAGAGUUUAGACGUUGUUAGAUAAAACACACAAGUAGCAUAUCGAUUAAUAGACAUGCAAGUACUCUUAUCCAUUUCAGUACUAAAAUUCUCUUGCUAGCUAGUCUCUCAUACUCAUCCAAUUGUUGCCUUGCCUGCUAAAAGUGUCUCGACUGCAUAUGUUUGAUUACAUACAAAGACAUUUCCUUCUUCAGUAAUUAGCUAGCUAGGAGCCUUAAACCGAUCAAUUAAGCAUGCAGAAACAACUGAGCUGAGCUAAUCAGUUCUAUUACAUAUAGUUGAGGGAAGUUGGAGUUCACAUCUACAGACACCGUAAUUAAGUUCAGGUUAGCGAGGUAAGAAUUGCAGUGCAAACUUAACAAGUCUGUCUGCCACUUGACUUGAUAAUAUAUGUAGACACACACACACACAAACAUGUGAAGUGAAGUAGCAUAAUUUUGCAUCGCUUUCGAAAUCCACAACCCGGUCCGAUAUUGCUAGUUGAUUCGCAGUAUAUAGUCGCUCUAAUGACUAGGCCAACACCACUCCGUCACUAGCUACAUCAACAUGCAUCACUACUUGUGAAGGAAUUAAUCAACAAAUUAAUUAUAGUUUAAUUAGUGGGUGUCAUAAUAUUGAAUUUAUGAGAGGAAGCUUUUCAAUAGUAUUAUGAUAUAUGGGAUUACAUAAGGGGUACAUGGGUUUAUAUAGAGUUAGGAUAGGAGAAUCCUUCCUCAACUAGGAAAACUCUUAUUACUAUUCCUAUACUAAUAAGGAAAAAUAUUGAAACUUAUUCCUAUACUAAUAAGGAAAAUAUAAUAUUUUUCAACACUCCCCCUCAAGCUUGGUGUAGAUGUUAAUUAACCCAAGCUUGGACAGUAAGUGGUCAAACACAUCUUUUGAAAGAGGCUUCGUAAAAACAUCUGCAGUCUGUUGCUUCGUAGGAACAUAUUCCACUCGAACCACACCAGAACUAACAUUUUCAGUUAUAAAAUGACGAUCUACCUCCACAUGUUUAGUUCGAUCAUGAUGAACAGGGUUGCGGACUAUGCUGAUUGCUGCUUGACUAUCACACAGAAACUGGAUAGGACCAUCGAUCUCAAUCUUCAGCUCAUUCAUGAUGCGCUUCAACCAGAUACUCUCACAUAUUCCAAGUGCGAGAGCUCGGUACUCAGCCUCUGCACUGCUUCUAGCCACAACCUUUUGUUUCUUACUUCGCCAUGUCACAAGAUUUCCCCAGACAUAACUACAAUAACCAGUUGUAGACCUUCGAUCUGUGAGUUCACCAGCCCAACUUGCAUCAGUAUAGACAGUAAUUCCCCGUUGAGCAGUUCUCUUGAAAUAGAUUCCCUUUCCAGGUGAACUCUUCAAGUACCUUAGGAUUCUGUAAACCAUUCCCAUAUGUUCUUCAUUAGGACAGUGCAUGUGCUGGCUGACAAUCCCAACUGCAAAAGCUAUAUCGGGUCGAGUGUGAGCUAAAUAAAUCAGUUUCCCAACCAAUCGUUGAUACCGACCUUUUUCAACUGCAGGAAUAUCCUCCUCCCUGCUAAGAGUUUUAUUCGACUCCAUGGGAGUGUCGAUAGGCUUACAGUCAAGCAUUCCCACUUCCUUUAGUAAGUCCAAAACAUAUUUUCGUUGAGAGAUUACGAUACCUUUCUGAGAUCUCGAAACUUCCAUUCCUAGGAAGUAUUUAAGGUUUCCCAAGUCUUUGAGUUCGAACUCUUUUGCCAGUUGAUCCUUGAGUCUCUUAAUUUCUUCUACAUCGUCUCCAGUGAUUAUAAUAUCAUCCACGUACACAAUGAGGAUGGAGAUCUUCCCUGUAGGUGAGUGCUUCACAAAUAAGGUGUGAUCGGUCUGACAUUGGUAGUAUCCUCCUUGCUUCACAGCCUUGGUAAAUCUGUCAAACCAGGCUCGGGGAGAUUGUUUCAACCCGUACAAGGCCUUGCGAAGCUUACAAACUUCCCCUUCUCUCGGAUUUUUCACUCCCGGAGGAAACACCAUAUAGACCUCUUCUUCAAGUUCUCCGUUAAGAAAGGCAUUCUUCACAUCAAGUUGAUGUAACGGCCAGUCCAGGUUUGCUGCCAGAGAAAACAACACCCUUAUACUGUUGAGCUUUGCCACUGGUGCAAAGGUUUCAUCAUAAUCCACGCCGUAUGCUUGGGUGAAACCUCUAGCCACCAGCCUAGCUUUAUAUCUUUCAAUCGAUCCGUCUGCUCUAUAUUUAAUGGUGAAGAUCCACUUACAAUCAACUGUGUUCUUUCCAUUCGGAAGGGAGACAAUGUCCCACGUAUUAUUUUUCUCCAAAGCUCGUAACUCCUCCAUGACAGCACUUCUCCAUUUUGGAUGUUUCAUAGCUUCUUCAAUAUUCUUAGGUAUUUGUUCCUCGUCAAGAGCAGAUAUAAAUGCUCUGUGAGAAUUGCUAAGACCAUCAUAGCUGAUUUGUCGAGCAAUCGGAUAUUUUGUGCAAUUUCUUAUACCUUUCCUUAGAGCAAUAGGAACCUCUAGAUCACUCAAAUCAUCACCCUCUUCUUCAACAUCUUCAACUAUCACUUCUCGAUCAGCAUUCGUAACUCCCCCUCCACUAUUUUCUGUCUCAAGAGUAUCAUCUUCAAUCACAAUAUUCUUUCUUCUUUGAUAAACAAGAAGAGGUUUUUCUAAUGAUUCCGCUGAUGACAUUUGAGACUCCCCCUGACUUACAACAUCAGUUGGGAGCUCCCUCUGACUCACAACUUCGGAUGGAGUGUCCUCUUCCUCUAAACAAAUCGUAUCCACGAGGGUAUGACUGUCAUCAUUAUUUGUUUGCUCCCCCUGAAUCACAGUAGUAGGAAAGUAGGUCUGUGAUUCAAAAAAGGUAGCAUCCCGAGUGGUGUAAACUCGUUUGGUCGGAGGAUGGUAGCACCUAUAGCCCUUCUGGGUUAAAGAGUAGCCUAUAAACAAAGGUGUAAAAAAGAGCCGAGGUCUUUGUUGAAGUAAUCGUGGGCAUUGUCAGUUUUCAGAACCUUGAUGUGAGUCUGAAAUUGGGUAGCUACCAUUUUGUGAAAUAGCUGAAAAAUCUGGACCGUUUCGGACUUUUCUUUCAUUAAGAAAGUCCACGUCAUCCUUGUGUGAUCAUCAAUAAAUGUUAUGAACCAACGAGCCCCAUUGAUGUUCUUGACUUUCAUAGGUCCCCAGAUAUCGCUAUGAACUACACUAAGAGGUGUGGUAGGUCGAUAGCCGAUUCUAGGAUAGGAAGAACGCGUAUGCUUCGCAAGUUGACACACAUCACAUCUCAAAUCCUUUGAACCUUUAUUCUGAAAUAGUGCAGGUAGCAACUUUUCAAGAUAAGUAAAACUGGGAUGACCAAGACGGAAGUGCCAUAACAUGGCUUCAUUCUCAAUGUGUUCAAUACUAGAAACAACAUUAGCACUAAUACUACUAUGGGCUUUACUGGAACUAGCCUCAUCCUGAGUUCCCUUCAACAAGUAGAGACCAUUACGCAUUUCACCACUUCCAAGCAUUUUCCCAGUCUUCACCUCCUGUAACACACAAUCGGGAGAGCGAAACUUAGCUUCACACUGAAGAUCAUGUGUUACUUGAUGAAUAGAGAGAAGAUUGCAGUCAAGUUUAGGCACAUAAAGUACUGGACAUAGAGUAAGAUCCUUAGUAACCCUAACAAUGCCUAUUCCUUCCACCGGUGCUAUUGAUCCAUCGGCAAUCCGGACACCUGAGGUUCUAGGGUAAGGUUUUAAGUGUUCUAUCAACUCCUUACAACCAGUCAUAUUGUCUGUAGCUCCGGAAUCAAGGAUCCAAAUAUUCUGAGAAUUUUGACUAGAAGUGUAAGCAGCCGAAGUACCUUUUUUGUCGAACAUACUAGACAUGUAAGAUUUCUUGGGGUCGGCUUUCUCAGUAUUCAUGAUUUGUGCAAACAUUUUCUUCAGAGUCUCCAACUGACCAGCUGAAAACUGUGUCGUAUCAUCAGUUUUGGUGGCAGCUGCGUUCGCACGAGACUUCUGCUUAUUCAAGUUCAGUCUGGGUCUCCAUCCUUGUGGUCCACCAACUAUUUCCCAGCACUCCUCUUUCGUAUGAAAGGGUCGUUGACAGAGAUCACACCAUUUUGAAGAGGCAGCAGAAGUAGGAUUCUGUAUUCCCUUGUCAUGGUUGUUCUUAACAAAGAGAGCUGUGGUUGAGGUCUCAGUUUUCAGGGCUGAACUGCUGGGUUCAGAGGUUGUCUUCGUCUCUGUAACCAUCAGAUGACGCCGACCUUCUUCUCUCAAAACCUCAGCAAACGCCUCCUUCAGACUUGGAAAGGGUUUCGUUCCCAUAACCCUGCUUUUCACAGCAUCUAGGUCUUGAUUUAGUCCAAGAAGCAGUUGAACUGUCCUCUUCUUGUCCAUGAAUGUCCGGAAUGUUUUUGCAUCAUUCGGAGUAUCCCACUUCUGAGCUUCAUACAAAUCAAGUUGAAGCCAGGUUCGGACCAGCCGAUUGUAGUACUCCGUUGCACUCAAGUUACCUUGCUUGAAAUUGUAGAGUUUGGACUCAAUUUCGAACAAAGCAGAUGAGUUGUCUUGCGUGGAGUAGGUUUCUUUCACAUCAUCCCAAAGCUCCUUUGCAGAUUGAUGUAGAAGAUAGUUGUCGCCGAUAUCUGGUUCCAUCGUGGAGAUGAGCCAGAACCGAACUUGAUUGUCAUCAUUGUCCCACUUGGUGAAGGCAGCUGAGUCGGAUUCUUCUGGUUUGCUUGCAAUACCAGUAAGAUAUUCCCCUUUCUGUUUCCCAGUGAUGAACAUCCGGACUGACUGAGACCAUUGGAGGUAGUUGUUACCAUUGAAUUUCCUAAUGGAAGCUCCUCCAGAGCCUGGUUCAGAUCCGAAAUUGUUGUUGUUGUUGUUGGCUGCCAUCUCAGUUUCGGAGAUGACAGAAGAAGGAUGAAUGGUGGAAGAAGACGAGUGUUUUGGAAAGGAAGAAGGUGAAACAAUCUUGUUGUCCGUGGUCAUGAUGAACCAACAGUGAGAUUAACACCGACGGCAGCGGAAGAUAUAGCCGGCGGCUCUGAUACCAUAUUGAAUUUAUGAGAGGAAGUUUUUCAAUAGUAUUAUGAUAUAUGGGAUUACAUAAGGGGUACAUGGGUUUAUAUAGAGUUAGGAUAGGAGAAUCCUUCCUCAACUAGGAAAACUCUUAUUACUAUUCCUAUACUAAUAAGGAAAAAUAUUGAAACUUAUUCCUAUACUAAUAAGGAAAAUAUAAUAUUUUUCAACACAUAAUAUAGGGUUUGGAUGUGAAUACAGCUAAAAUUAAGUGAGAGUACUGUAGACAGUAAGCACAUAAUUAUCAUACUAAUUAGUAGUUGGGAUUCGCAUGCGCACGAAAUGAAGAAAGAUCAUCAUGCAAAUGCUAUCAUCUGCAAACAACUGGGUUUUUUUUUGGCUCGACGGAACGGAAGGACCAUACUAGAAAACCCACUAGCUACCCUAAUUAGCUUACGUGAAUGGUCCCGUGCCAUGUUGGGCAACACUAGUUCAAAUUUGCCGCUAAUUCGUACAGUAAUCUCUGCUGCUGCAUAUCCAUAUAUAUAUAUAUAUAUAUAGACAGUAAACACCGCCAUCAAAAGCAACGCCUGCUUGCUGUUGCUUAUCACUAAACAAACAAUAUAUAGUUUAUUAUGUUGUAAAUCUAAACACCAAAACCUCAAAAAUUGCAAACCCUUAGACCAAAGCAAGAACCUCAGUCGUCAGUCCCCCACUAAAGCAACGAGUUGAGUUACCUGUUUCCCAGUAAGUACCACGCUCGGUUUCCCAUUUGCCAAACCAAACCCAACAGAAGUAGUUGUAAAAGAGAGAGAGUUAAAGAUUAUUACUGCUGAUUGAUGAUAAUAAUAACAACAAAUCUAAAACAAAAAGAAGAAGAAGAAGAAGAAGAAGAAGGAGGAGGAGGAUGAGCAGCCGACAGAAAGAGAAGUGAGCACCCAAAACUCAAUGGUAUAGAUUCAUAUAUAACAUACUGGUCUCUAAGUGCUCACUCUCUUCUGUCAAUUUCUCCUUACUUGCUUUUUCUACUCCUUACCCAGAUCCCACAGACAGGGAGGGGCGGGCCGGCCAGAUCUGAGAGCAACCAAAGGCUAUCUCUUUGGCAGAAACCAAAACAAAGGAAACAAGACCUCAUCUUGUAUGUAUUUAGUCUUCUUGCUAGCUAGCUAGCUAGCUAGGGUUUCUUCUGUUAUAACAAACUGGAAAGAUAGACAGACAGAAGAGGAACCCGGAACCCUUUCUUUUUAGGUGUAUGGCUGUGAAGUGAAAGCGAAUAAGCAAUGCAGAGA
RNAcentral lists this long non-coding RNA (67861 nucleotides) under Linum usitatissimum (flax). Its description in RNAcentral is "long non-coding RNA (LUSI_LNC004151)". Lineage: Eukaryota; Viridiplantae; Streptophyta; Magnoliopsida; Malpighiales; Linaceae. The record is from RNAcentral.